Molecule: long non-coding RNA, 77054 nt
Filed under: Capsicum annuum
Lineage: Eukaryota; Viridiplantae; Streptophyta; Magnoliopsida; Solanales; Solanaceae
Description: long non-coding RNA (CANN_LNC007820)
Source: RNAcentral
AAAACUUAUUAUUAUUAAAAUGAUCUGAACUGUUUCAAAGACCCAACAUGCAUUUUUUUUGCAUUGGGCUCUUUCAUUAACUGAUAUUUAUAGCAGUUAGUCUGCCAUUUUUUUUCUUGACAGAAAAAAAGAUAAGGAAAUGGCUCCAUGUGCUCUGAUUCAUUAUUUGGGAGCAUUACCAAAGUGUUUCAAAGGUGGGAUUAUCUUGACGUAGGUCUGUCUCUGGCCUAAAUAAACCUAAGUUAAACAUAAUUGUAUAAAUUCAGUUCAACAGAAACCAAUUUCAAAACAGCAAAUCCUCCAAAGAAUCUUAUACCUUAUAACCAUAUAUUAAAAUAUUAGCACAAAAAUAAAAAUAUCAGAUCAUACCUUUGUUUGUUAGAUCGUUUAGUUUUGGUGUUGAAUCCAUUAGCUAUUGCAUAUCUUGCCAUAACUGCAACCAAAGUUUGCUUAUCAUUAUAAAGCUGAUCAACCUUUAUUUCGGUGUUCUUGCAGUCAGUAAUGAAGUUUUUCACUUCAAAUUCAGGAACGUAUAAUGCAUACUGAUUUUGCGUUUCAACGACCAUUACCGCAACUGAAUCAUAUUCACUAUCUUCAAUACAAAGUACAACCCCUAUUUUUCUAUCAAACUCGAUAUCCUUAUUCGACUUGUCGAAAGCGGAAAUACACAACGGAAAUACACAGUAAAAAAUUAACCAAUCCAGAAAAUUAUUUCUUCAACUCAAUGUAAACUCUCACUCCAUUGUACUUCCUUAUGUUAAUUAAAGAAGAAUUACCUUCAACAAUGUAUUUAACUUCAAUUUUUUUACGUACUUCAUCAAUAUUCAAUUUCAUGAAGAUCGUAGAAAUCAAUUUCAAGAAAGUUACUUUUCGAAACAAUAAUUGCAUCACUUUUGUACGAUUGAUAACCGAUUUGCGACUUCCAGAUACCCGAAUAUAGCAACAAUAUGGUAAUGUUCAUAUUUAUUAUUUAGAGAACAGAAGAACGCAUAUGAAGAAACUUUUUUUUUCCCUGAUUGUAAAUCUACAAAGAAGAAGACUUUAUUGUGAUGUUUAAAAAAAUAUUAGAAUUUAAAUUUCAGUACUAUAAUUACUCAUACACUACAUAAUGUUAACUAAUUAAUGGCGGGGUUAAUUAAGGAACAGUAAGAUACUAUCUGAUUUAUCUUACCUUAAAUAUAGGAUUAACAGUUUUAUCAUACAUUCCAACUAUAUAUGAGAGAUGUCCGAAUGUAUGAGUAUAUUUACAAAAUCUGAGAGAGAAAGCCUGAAGGAAUUUUAUGUAAUUACUUUGUCUAGGGAGGGGAUUUAUAUAGUUUAUAAAUAUUAUUUCAUGAACAUAUUUGAUUUCAUUAUUGGAUUGUAUCAACAACAUGUUUUCUCAGAUGAGCAAUUGUACGUGGCCCUUUCAAGAGGAAUAUCAAUGGCCAAAAUAAGAGUUUUGGUUAUGAAAGAACAACCAGAUCGGAAGUCAGAAACUCGGAAGACAGAAACAUACAUGAAAUAUCGUCCAUAAGGAAGUAUUAGAUGAGAUAUGAUAUCUAACAUAUUUCAAAUUAAUCAAAUCUAAAUAAAUAUAUAAAUUACAUGUAUCUUAUUAUAAUUCCAUUAUGUUGAUUUUAUAGGAUCAGGUCUAUAAGAUGAGACAUAACUUUCCGCAUUCAACUUUUCCAAAAUGUAUCUAUUCUUUAAAUUUUUUGCAACUAUAUAAUGAUAUCAUCAUUUUCCUUAGUAGGCAGAAAAAGGCACCAAUUUAUUAUUUUGUGAUGAAUUAUUUAUUCAAAAGAUUGGUCAAAUUGAAUCAACAAUACAACAUAUCAAAAGCAAAAAAAAGUAACGUCCCUGCAUAAGCAUAGCCACGACUUCAAUGCAUCCUCUUCAAAAACAAAACAACCAUGGCAAUUCAAUGUCAAUAUCCAACUCGCUAAACUAAAAUUGUUAGUUAUAAAUGCUACUAUACAUUACUAUCAUCCACGGUUUAUCACCUACAGAAUUUACUUCAGAUUUUAUUUAUUAUCCAACUUAAAUUAUGUGCUAAGUAUUUCGCACUACACAUUGCACAAACCUAGCCUACUUUUGCUCUUCCAGUAUGAACUUAAUUCAUAUUAGUACUAUAGAUGAUUACUUACGUAAUAUAUUAUAGAUAUUAAGUUCUCAUUCACAUUCAUAGGAUCAAUUAAUUAAAUAUAUUUAUGGUCAAACCUUGCCUUAUUAGAAGUCAUCAUAAUUAAUGACAACUAAUACUUUUUCAUUAGUUUAAGAAUUAUAAAUCAACAAAAUAUGAUUUUAAGAACAUUUAAAAAAUUUAGAAAUAAAUAUAAAAGUGUUGAAAUAAAAAAAAUUAAGAAGUACCACAUUUUUAAAAUUUUCAAUACGCAAUAAGAAUGUAAUCAAUGAUUUUGUAAAGAUUUGACUUUAAAAAUAAGAGAAGAUUUAAAAUAUAGGAAAAAAAAUUGUACCACAAAUAUGUGUCUCUCUCAGCCGCCCAUAGCAAGGAAAAUAGGUAUUGAAUGACAAAACGGAAAAUUGAUGAUCCGUCUACCACUUGAAACAUCUGGCGGUAAAAUAUAUAUAUAUGUUUAUACUAAAAUAUAUGUUUUUUUAAUAUUAUUAUAUUAAAGUGUGAAACAUCUCUAAAAAAAUGUUUUGAAUUGUUUACACUUCAUUAAAAAUCUCUAUAAUAAAUAAAAUUAUUUAGUUUUAAAUAAACAGAUGUUACACAUGCGAGGCACGUGUGAUUACACCAGCUUUAGCUUAUUUUAAUUUUUCAAAUAACUUCACUAAGCUCAGCAAUAUCACGUCUCCACAUCUUGUAUUUCGAUCCUAAUAAAUCAUAUACCGACAUAAUUUUUCUCACCCUCCCAUGUAAUUUAACAAUUGGUGAUCGUUUCCUAUGUAUUUUUACUAAAAUUUACACAUAUACACUAAAUAAAAAAAUUUUAUUACAUAAUAUACUAAUUUGGUAAAGUAUUUACACAUAUCCCAAAAUAUUUAUACAAAUUCCUUUAUUUUCAACUUUCUCUCUCUUAAACAUUAUAUAUCUCUAAAAAGGUUUUCUCUUCCGUAUUUUACUCCCUCAUAUCCUCCCACAACACACGAUAUUUACUCCAUAAUUGAAUCCCCUUAUUCUCAGCAAAAUUCAAGAAUCGUGUAUCUGGGAGUUACAAUUUGUAAGUUUGAAGAUUUUUUUUUCUUUUUUUUUCAACUUUUUCAAUUUUUGAAAUUGACCGUAUAUUUUGUUGUCGUGGCAUGUUUGUUUUUACCUUAUUUUGCAAGUAUUUUCAAGUUUCGUAGUUUGAUUUUUAUGUUUUCUUCAUAUAAUACAUUUUCGAUUCUUGGUUUGUAGAUUAUUUUUUUUCAAAUUUACCUAUUUUUGUAUUUUUUAGUUUAUUUUAUGAAUGCAUGUUUGGUUUUAAGGAUUUACCACAUUUUUGCAAGUAUUUUCAAGUUUCGUAGUUGAUUCGGGUUAAUUGAAUUACUGAAAAAAAUUGCUAAUGGAUUCUAGUCCUAGCUUUAGUUUAGGACUUAAGUCAGUUAGAUUCUAAAAAACAAGAUAUACCUGUUGGGUUUGUUCCUGGUAUAUUUCAUUUUGAAGAACCCGAUUUCUCAAAGAAUCGUUCAAAGCAUCGAAAUGACCCCACAACAAUGAAGAGAUUGAAGAUAGCGGUCACUUCCAAAUCAAAGAAAUCAAGUUCAAAAACGGCCAGUAAGAAGAAGUUUGAUGAUUCCGGUAGACCACGUCUUCCGAAGGUAUUGAUUAAACAUUAUACUUUACUUACGUUGCAACAUUAUUGUAUAAUAUAGUGGAACAUACAAUUUUGUGCAGCACUAAUGUAUAAUAUUACUAUUAUGUUAUACAUUUCAUUUUUUUAUACAUUGGAUGUUUUUAUUACAUAUAAGAGGCAUUUGAAACUGGGUGUGUUAUUAUACAUUUAUGAAGUUUUCGUUUUGUAUAAUGUUCUAUUAUACAUUCUGACAACAUUACAUGUCAUAUAUGUUUAAGAUGAAAUGUUUAAUCUGACAUUAUACAUUGUAUAUAUUUGAUUAUUAAUGUGUAAUGUUAUUACAUAAAUCUUUUUAUACAUUGCUUUCCAUACUCUUAUUAUACAUAAAAGGUAUUGUAUGAUUUAGUUUAUAUUAUACAUUUAGUGAGUUUUCAUAGUGUAUAAAAUGACAUUAUACAUCUGAAUAACUGAUAUGUCAUACAUGCUUUUAAUGAGAACUAUUUUAGUAUGCAACAUUAUACAUUAGUGCAUCUAAAACAUGUGUAACUUUUCCUGUAAUUAUUAUAUAUUUUCUUAUUUCAGGGCAUGAAAUACCGUAUAGAUAAAGUCCCGGAGCACUCUUCGCAUAUUUUGAGCUUAUGCAACCGUGGUUUUGCUACAGAAAUAAAAUCUUAUUUUGGAGAAGAUAUUUUAAAGGCAUUUAGAAAUACGUUAUUUGGGAUUUUUCUUGACCUUCCGCAGUGCAACUGGAUUGGGCAGAUUUCAAAAUGUAACCUUAUACGAGAAAUCCAACAAGAUAUUAAGGAUGAGAUACAUGUGUGUGUGCAGGGGAAAAUUUUAAAAUUUACAAUGCUUGAAUUUGUCAUUAUCACCGGUCUGAAAUACACCGGUGAUAUUGAUGAGUUUAUGUAUACAUCAUCAUCAAAAUCCCCUUUGAUGUCGAAGUAUUUUCCUGAAUCUAGAGGUGGUAUAACUAGGUCAAAACUGAUAACACGUGUGAAGAUGGAAAAUUUAGAGAACUCUGAAAAUUCUUUGAACCUUGCGAUAUUAUAUUUUUUUUAUACAUUCAUGUUAUCUCAGCAUAAAGAAGCACCAAUCAGUUUAGCUCACUUCCAAAUGAUCGAGGAUGGUCGGUACAUACACUUUCCAUGGGGAAAGAUAACUCUUGAAAAGUUGAUCAACUCGUGGCGGCAGGAUUUCAAAGUCGUAAAGAAGUUAUAUUCUUUGAGUGGAAUGCCCCACGCUCUAAAUAUUUGAAUAUUUGAGUGUUGCUCUGCGGUAGAUAAAAAACUGUUUUGCGACAUGAAAACAUCAUCCCAAGAAUACUUAAUUGGUCUAUUGAGUGUACAAGGCCUAAGUAUGAAUCUUUUAUGUCUGACAUGUUCAGUAAGGUAAUUGUAUAACAUGUUAAAUAUUUUUAUUUUAUACUCACUUUAUCAAAGUUCUAAUAUUUCAUUUUGAAAAUAAUUUUGUUAGUGUUUUUUCAAGAAUUUACAGCUUACAAACGAAGAAGUUCGUACUUUAGAUAUGUCUUUCUCUGAGGAUUUUGUGAUUUUUGAUCCAAUAUUUGCUGCUUCCACUUCUGUUAGUGCAAAAAUGCAAACAGAAAGCGAUGAAGAUCAAUCGCGUGUUGUCACUAGAAAUGACGACUAUGAUGAUUUCACCACUGUACCUACUCAGGAAUUUCUAAGAAAGGCUCGUUUGACUAAACCUAUAUCAACUGAACAACCAUCCAAAAGAAGAAAAAUAGUUAUGUUUCAGGAGUUAGUCUAGCUGCGACAGAUGGAUAGAAAUCAACAAGUUCUCAUUCAGUACAUCAUGUGUCUGAUAUGUUUUCUAAAAAAAAAUUACAAUUAAUAGAUAAACUACAAAUUCGUGUGACUGAUUUUGAUCAUCGUCAUCCAGUAGAAAUCGGUGUGUCUCCUAAGUGCGAACAACUCAAGUCUGUUCCUUUGUCUUCCACAACGCCUGAAGGGACUUCUAAGUCUAAUUUAGAUAUGGAGCAGAUAAAGAGUUACAUCAAAACAUAUGUAAGUUAAUUUUCUUAUUCACAAAUUUUAAUUUUAAAAAACUAUUACUUGUUUCUAAUAGCUUAUUGUUUAUCUGUACAUUAUAAGGUGAAUGAAAAAAUUGCUGAGAUGAAAACACUAAUCUCCAAUAUACCUGAUGAGGUCGUUAAAGCAUUGAAGAAAGAAGAUAAUAAAGAAUCUUCAGUAUAAAAAGAAUUUUCAUUCAAAUUUUUAAUACUUUGAACAAAUACUCAUACAUUAGUAUUAGAGAAAAUUGUUCAUCAACAAAAAGGUGCAGAAGAAGGAUAAAAAAUAAAUGUUAGUGUUUAUAAGAAUGAUUUGUCAGUAAUGUUAAUCUAAAUUAAAUUGGCAUGUUACCAUAAAUCUGUAUAUCUCCAACAUCUUAACUUAUUUUUAUUUGGUUCUUAUACAGCAUGAAGAUGAGUACACGGGACCAGUCAUUCACAUAACAAAUGAUGAACCAUCAGUACUUGAACCUUUUGAAACAGAGAUCUAAGAUUGUGUCCACAUUCAUACUGAAUGUCCAACAAUAGCUGAGGUUCAAUUCGAUCAGAAGGUAUAUAUAUGAUAUCCAUAAAUAUGGUUAUACAAUGUAGAUAUCAAAUUAUAAAAAUAUUUUCAUUCAUCAUUAUAUAAAUUUGAUUAAAUCCACAAACAUUCACUUGUCAAUAUUUUGUAGGAUGAGCAAAUGAAAGAUCAAGAAGAGGGACAUGAAGAAGAAUCGAAAAACAUGCACAUUACUGAUAUGGAAAAUAUAUCGGUACAUUUUGGUCUAUCAUGUUGGUUUGUUCUUGGAUGAAUAUCAAUAUUUUAAAACGCUUUACUUGUAGGCUGUUACAGAAUUAUUACACAUACAUUUGAAUGUAUAUUGAUAUGUUAUACAUUAUUAAUACUAAUAGUAUAUUUCAGAAAAAGAAUGUUCUUUUAUUUUGAGACUGUUUCAGUAUAAUUAUACAUUUGAGUGUAUAACAUUAUGUUAUACAUUAAAUUAUCAUAUAACAAAUACAUAUGGAUUUGUUAUACAUAUCAAUUUUAAAUCACCGGUGCAUAUUUUUUUCAUUCAACUACGUAUCACUUUGACUAAGCUUUUAUGGAUGAUGCUUGUUACUGAAUGUAGGAAGAGCAUAAUGAUGCAAUAGAGGCAGGUUGUACUGAAGAUCCGAGCAUAUAGCAUAGCCCUCAAAUGAAACAUUUAGAGGUAUUUUUUUGAUUGUUCAUAUUUUUUAUUAACUCAAAACUUACAUGCUUAUACAUUCACAUCCAUGCCAACUACAUAUCAAAUUUUAUAAAAAGGUUUUCAUUCACCAUUGUAUGACUUUUCAAAUUACUAUUACAAAAUUUUUUUCUCUUGCACUAUAUCUUACUUGAAUAAUUUGCACUGUAAUACUAUCUUAUUUUGAUAUUGUCUUAGUUUUAUUAUACAUUCAUUUGAAUGUAUAACAUUAUGUUAUACACUGAAAUAAAUUUAAAUACAUGAUGAUUGUUACUGAAUGUAGGAUUAGCAUAAUGCUGCAAUAAAAGCAGGUUGUACUGAAUAACUAAGCAUACAUUUAGAGGUAUUUUUUUGUUGUUCAUGUUGUUUAUCAACUCAAAACUUACAUGCUUAUACCUUCACAUUCAUGACUAAUAGAUAUCAAAUUAUAUAUAUAUCUUUUCAUUCAUCAUUGUAUAGCAUUUAAAAUCACUAUUACAAAAUUUUUUCCUCUAGAACUAUGUCAUACUUUGAAUUAUUUGCAUCGUAAUGCUAUCUUAUUUUGAGACUAUCUCAAUUUCAUUAUACGUUCAUUUGAAUGUAUAACAUUAUGUUAUACAUUAAACCAGCAUAUGAAAACUACAUGUGAAUUUGUUAUACAUAUCAAUUUUAAAUGUAUAACAGUACUUUAUACAUUCAUAAAGAUUAUUAUACAUUCAUAUUCAAUUUUUAUAUAUAGAGAUUACAAAAUACCUUGACAUAUUUAUUUUCUUACAUAAUGAUUUUGAUUACAAUAGGAUGAGUAUAUUGCCGCAAAAGAAUCAUGUUGUGCUGACGAAUUGAACAAACAUCAAAGUACUGAUAUGAAAGAUUUGCAGGUAUUUUUUUGACAAUUCAUAUGUUGUUUUUUAACUAAAAACCUAUCUAAAUUAACGUACCUGUUGUUUAGGUAUCACUAUCAUUAAAUAUUAAUAUGUUUGAUUUUACACAUAACACAUCAAUCUUUAAUCUGUAGGAUGAUGUGAAUGCCACACUAACGAAGUCUGUUCAAGAUGCUUUAGAUGCACUAAUAUUUAGGUUGUCAACACCUUCGAAUACAAAUAAAUUCGAUGUUGUUACACCAAAUUUAGUGACGGAAAGCCAGUGAUCACUUCCAGAUAGUCAGUUUCCACCUGACUUUCCUGAUGCAUAAGAAAGGGAGCUUGAAGCAGCAAAAGCACGUGAAGUAAAACAGAAAUCACCUGUAAAAAAAGACAGAAAAAAGUCAAAGAUUUUUAGGUCACCAUAUAUCACAAAAUUUGGAUCGAGCUCUAAAGAUGAGGGCAGCUCUGAUAAUGAAGAGAAGCAGAGGUAUGCUUUUGAUAGUUGUACCAUUAUCGAAGACUUGCCUAAUUAAUUGAUCAAUGAUUAUUCACAGUGGCUUGAAAUUGGGUUACUAAAAUAUCAUGCUUCAAAGUAAGUUAUUUAGAAAGAUUACUAAAUUAUUGAAAAUAGUACAUAAGAAUAAAACUUGGUUAAGUCUAAUGCUUGUUUAUGUUACACGAAACAAACAGACAAUCACUAUCUAAAAAAUGCUCCAGGAUUAGGUUAUUCUCUUUUGGACUUUAUUGUUGCACAAGCACUCUCAAAGAAUUGGUUGUACUUGAUAUCGCAACGCAAAAUGUGUUGGAAUGAUGAGGUAAAUUAAACUAAAUUAUAUCAUGCUUGUUUAAACUUUUACUAAAAAUAUUCUAAUUGUUACAUAAUACAUACAAUAUAUUGUAUGAUUACAUAUCUUAUAUAUGGUGUGAUGUAGAAUCACUUUUUAUACAUUUAAUUUUAACACCUCAUACAAUGAUGUUCUUUGUUGAAAACAUAAUAAUAACUAAAAUAUAUGACUUCGAAUUUAUUUUAUGACACAAUUUCAUACAUGUGGUAUGAUAUGUUCAUGUCAAUUAUCAAUACAUAAUAAUAACUAAAACUUAUGUAUUAGAAUCUGUUGUACGAUUAAAAAGUACAUAAUACAUAAAAUCUAUUGUAUAGUUACAUAUCAUACAUGUGGUGUGAUGUAUAAUCACAUUUUAAACAGGUAAUGCUAACAGAUCAUACAUUUCUGUUCUUUGUUAUGUAGUAUUAUUUUAUGAAUAAAAAUUAUACAUGUAGUAUUACAUUUAAUCAGAUUUUAUACAUGUUAUGUUAACAUAUCAUACAUUAAUGAACAUUCUCAAUACAUAAUAAUAACUAAAACAUAUGCAUUAGAAUCUGUUGUAUGAAUAAAUACCAUACAUGUUAUGAAGUGUAUAAUCACAUUAUAUAGAUGUAAUGGUAAUAGAUCAUUCAUUCAACUUCUUGCGUAAUACAUAUUAAUAACGUAUUCUUAUACAGUUUUCUUUCAUUGCUUAACAUAACGUAACCCAUUUUAACAUGUAGAACUUAGAUGUGAUAUUAUACCAUUUGAGAAAAAAACUAAAGUUUCAGCAGAGUGAUACAUAUAGAUAUACGACAAUCAGCUACUUCUUCAAAACAUAUAUGAAAAAAACAUACGAACGAUAUUUUCCAAUAGUUAAAACAGAUCAGAUAUCCACGCAAGAAGACUACACAGAAUUUAUUGCUUGUGCUUCUAAUGAAAUCGCUAUAACAAAUAUAAUUAAUGGAUUCUGUAUUUCUAGGGUUUACCAUGACAUUUGGUUGAUGAGGUAUAUGUUCCUGUUAACUAUGGAAAAGAAUAUCACUAGAUAUUAGCUGUAAUUGUAUUAAAGGAGAGAACAAUACGUGUGUAUGACACAUUGUCGAGCAAAAAGAAAAGUGAACCACCAACUGAAAUACGAAAGUUAGCAGCCAUGCUACCUACCUACUUGUCGGACAGUGGUGUUUAUGAAAAGACUGAACGAAUUGAUUGGUCAACACUUAAAGCGUACGAAGGGAAUCUAGUCUGCAAACUGGUGAGAUAAGUCACAACCCAUUUAAUGUUGAACACGUCCAAAACAUUGCACAACAAACGUCUGAUAGUUUAUAAGUAUCUCUUAUUUUUUAAAUUUUCACAUGUAUAAUCAUGGUAAAUUACUAAACUUAUCGGUUUUUCAUUUUAUUAAAAAUUCAGGGACUGCGAGGUAUUUGUGGCUGCAUAUGCAGAAAUAUUGAGUGAAAGGCAGCAAGUUCAUUCAUGUGAGUUUGAAGCUGCUAGUCAACGUGCACGGUGCUUCGUUACUAUGGCAUUACAGAGUGACGAAGGUAAAGAAAGGUUAUACGAGUGAUAAUGAUGAUCCUCCUCAAUCAAAGAAUACUUUUCUCCAAUCACCUGAUGAAAGUGCAAUUGUUACUUUGGACUAGCUCAUUCUAAAAAUUAUUCUAAUUCCUUUUUUUGUUAUUUCUGAUAAAUAGUUAAAUACAGUAAUGUUUUUUUGAAUGUUGGUUUUUAGGCAACAUUAUAUAGAUGGCAGCUUUUGGUUCUAAUACAUUUAGAUUUACAUAAACUCUUUUCUGCUUGUUCUAUAUUGUUUGUUAAUUACUCAUUUUACCCAACAUAAUAUUAAUAACACUGUAUAACAAUAAUUUACAUAUUAAUAAUUAUAUAUAUGUAAAACAUUAUAUUUUUUUUCCAGCAUUAAAGAAGUUAAUACUAUAUUAUGAGUUAAUUAUACAUAAAAUAGGUAUAAAGUUAUUUUGGAUAAAUUCAGUAGAUAAUAUCAUACAUGUUGAAACAAUAUCAUUGCUUAAUUGAAAACAACUUCGGAAUUCAAAAAUUUUUAAGAAGAAUAACAGUAGAUCGUAAAUUGUAAACAAACUCAAAGUAUCAACCUUUAGACAUAAUACUGAUAACAAAACAAAAAUAUUUUUUAUUAUCAUACAUACAUCUUAAUGUAUAAUCCAUAAUCUUCACACAAAUUUGUCUGCUUCAUAUUUUGGUAGUUCUUAUACUUUUUAAAGACAUUUACUUUAAAAUCGUACAUGUUGUCAACGAAUAAUAUCAUACAUGUUAAAUGUAUUAUACAUUAUAACUACAUAUUACUACGUUGCAAUAAUGAGCAGUAAAGUCAAAAAAUAUAAUAAUUCAAAACGUUAUUACUUUGUUUCCAAAAUGUCAUACAUUAAGUCAUAAUUAAAAAGCACAUACCAAAUAAAAACAUAAAAUAAACUUCAACAAUCAAAUCAACAAAAAAAAAAUCAGGUUCUGUAGUUAUAUCCAAACGAACACUUAGCAUUUAGAACAACAAACUAAAAUCUUCAACUUUCUUUUGGGAAGAAACAGCACGUCAUACGGUUGUGUCCUGCACGCCCGCAUUUACCGCAAUGGUUUGAACUUGUAAGUGAUUCACUAGAUUUCAAAUGUCUUUCUUUUUUUGGCGUCCCAGGAGGUCUUCUGUAUUUGGGUGGCAAAACUUCGCCGUCAUCAACAAAAUCUGAAACAAUCCAAUCUUUCAUAUCUGGCAUAGGAAUUAUGGGGAGUUUAUAUGUCUUGACAAUGGUGUUUGGACGAUACAAUUCUGAACACUAACGCCCAUACUCUUUCACAUCAAUAUUUAUACUCUUCAAAACCGCAAUUACGUGUGGACAUGGAAUUUCAUCAAUUUGAUACCGACAACAGUUACACGUGCCACGAUCAAUAUCAACAAUGUACCUCCUUCCUGAUUCAUACACACAGUACAGAUAACUACCAGCUGCCUUAACCUGUUAGCAAUGACUAAUUUUAUACAGUUAAAAAUAUAAAAAUUAAUAACAAAUAUAAAGUAGAUUCAACUUUCAUAAUAUAUACCAUCAUCCGCAACGAUUUAACCCCAUUAUCAGUUAGUAUUUCUUGAAAUCUUAUCCCAAGCGAUGUGUUUGUGUAAGAUGCAAUUUCACUGUUCUUACAAUUUUAUACAGCAAAUAGAAUCCUAACUUCUUUAAGGAAACCUAAAAUAGGAAGUACUCUAGCCUCUACCAAACAACCGUUAAUACAUUCAGCUAUAUUAGAGGUCAUCAUUCUACCUCUAUUAACAGGGGAGUGACAUCGAGACCAUUUAUCAUAUCCAGUUUCUUCCAGAUAUUCUUUAACCCUUGGAUCAACCUUUCCAACCUUUGACAUAAUGUAAUCAAAAUCUUCUUUUCUAUACGCUUUAGCCAUGGAAAAAUAAAGGUCACUAAGUCUAUCUUUGCUUUUUCUAAAAUAUUUACAAAUAUUUUUUCAUAAAUGCCAAAUACAUGCAAGAUGGGGAUAUUAGGAUAAACAAUGCUCACACCUUUUAUGAUACUCUCAUUUCUAUCCGAUACAACACAUAUGUUGUCCUAUUCUCCAAAUGAUUCGCUAAAUUAAUGAAAAAACCCUGUCCAAGAAUUGUCAUUUUUAGAAUCCACUACACCGUAAGCUAAUGGAAGAAUACAUCCUUAAAAAAAAAAACAAUUGUAUAGUAUCCAUUGAUCAGGUCUCUAAUUAAUUUACAUUUAGGUAAUAUAUGACAUCAUACAUGUUGUCCCACCUUUAUCACUUAAUUGAAAUCAACUAAAAUAUAUAACUCCACACAUUUUAAUAAUGUAUAACAAUACAUCAUAAUAGAAAACAUACUGUUAGGGAUCUAUAGAUUUAAUUAUUAGUAAAUGUAUCAGACAUUUAACGUACAAUUGAUAAGAAAGUAUGGAUAUUUUACAACAUCAUACAUACACCAUGAAGUAUAAUAGCUAUCAUAGCCCACAAAGAAAAAUUUAAUCACAUUUUACUCUUUCAAUUAUAAAAUCAAAAUGACAUUUCUAAGAUUAUUUAAAUAGAAACUAGCAUCUACUUUAUAGAAAACAUCAAUAACACAAAAUGAAAGGAGUAUAUUGGUACUAUAUGUACUCAUUAAGCACAUUCAAUUUUUAUUAUACAUACUAGAGCAACAUAUAAUUAGCUAGAAUGCAUGCACAAUGCUGAAAUACCAAAUGUAAUUAUUUCAAAGUAUAAUACCUACACCAUCAAGAGUGCUCGCCGAUACAAAUGUUCCUUGAUAUGGCCUACUUAAAUGUGCACCAUCUGCAACUACUACUGGACGACAAAAUUCAAACCCCCUUAUCAUGGGAUGUAAGGCAAUAAACAAGUAUUUAAACUCGUUAUCUAAUGCCUUAUGCAUCCGAAUAUAUGAUCCAGGAUAUACCUGGUUCAACAUAUAUAUAUAGCGGGGCAUUUUUCGAUAUCCAUCAGCUGGUCCACCUCUAAGCAUCGCAAUUGCCUUUCCUUUUGCCCGCCAAGCCAUCAUGUAGUUAAUAUCAACACCGUAGACGACUUUCAUCUCUUCAAUUAUGUCUGCCGCUGUGUGUAUUCUCUUGUAAUUAAUUAACUUUGGUGCAGUAAACUCACUAACAAAAGUUUUUGUUGCAACUAAAUUAUUCAGUACUCUAUCACUCAGGCUGCAACUAUGUUCCGAAUCAAAUGUCUUUGUCACAAAGAUUUCCGAAUGAUUCAUCGAAUACGCCUUCAGGACCUAUUUACAAUCUUUGAUACAACAUGUAACACAUAGCUGUAGUUACAAUUUUAAAACAUGUCGUCAAUUUAUUAACAUACAUAUAAAAUCUAUAAUUUAAAUAAAAAUAUCAUAACUAAAUUGUUACAGUUUUAUUAUACAUUCGAAGAAAUGUAUGAUGGAAUAUUAUACACCGUAAAUGUAACUCUAUUUUGUACAAACAACAAAGUCAGAAAUUAAAGUCAAUAAUAAAACUCCUUAAACAAAUGCUAUUACAACACAACAAUAUCCUUCACAACAUCUACAAAUAAAAAAUAAUAAUUUAUUUUGUACCUUUCUUGUCAGAUCAUUUAGUAAAGGUGUUAAAGCCAUUCGAUAUUGCAUAUUUCGCCAUAACUGAUAUCAAAGUAUUUUUAUCCUUAUAAAGUUGGUUCACUUUUAUUUCAGUGUUCUUGCAAUCAGUAAUGAAGUUAUUAACUUCAAUUUCUGGAACGUAUAAUGAAUACUGAUUCUGCGUUUCAACAAUAGUUAAAGAAACCGAAUCAGAUUCACUACCUUCAAUACUCAUUACAACCCCAAUUUCGCUAUCAAACUCGAUAUCCUUAAUCGAUUUGUUGGAAGUUGUUAUACAUAGCGGAAAACUUAUAAGCCCAUAACAUUUUUUCUUCAACUCAAUAUAAACUUUCACUCCAUUAUCAUUUCUUAUGAUAAUUGGAGAAGAUUUUCCACCAACAAUGUAUUUUACUUCAAUUUUUUUCAAACAUCAUCAAUACCCAAUUCCAUCGCGAUUGUCGCAACCAAUUUCACAAAGUUAAUACUUUCUGAAACAACAAUGGCAUCACUUUUGUAUGCUUUAAAAACUUAUUUCCGUCUCCCAUACACCGGAAUGACGCAACAAUAUUGGGAUGUUCAUCUUUUUUCUCACAAUAAAUUAUGAGCAAAUAUUUUUUUCCCAGAAUAGUAAAUAAGAAAAGAAGACAAUUAGAGGUAAUGUUUAAGAGUUUUUGUUUUUGAAAUUCAAAUUUUAAUUACUAUUUUAACUCAUACAAUAAUUAACAUCAGGUAAUUAAAUGAUUUAAUUUAAGGAAUAGGAAUACAUUUACUGAUUCCUUAACCCUUAAAUUUAGGUAAAUCAGAUUUAUCAUACAUUCAGCGAAUGUAUAACAACCACCCGAAUGUAUGAUAAUAUUUUGCAUAAUAGGGAGAGAGAAAGUCUAAAGGAAAAUUAUGUAAAUAGUUUCACUUUAUGCGGUAUAUAUGUGGUUUAUACAUAUUGGUAUAUAUGUUGUUUAUACAUAUUUUUACUAUGUGUAUGAAAAUGUUAUUGAGGCGUAUUAUUAUGGUUGUUAAUUAUAGACUUUGGACUUCAAUUACUAUUUAAUGCGGAGGACCUGAAUUUUCACCUUUUUCCAUUGAUGAUAUUAUUCUUACAGGUAUGAUCAAUCAUUGCCAUUCGAUUGUGGACAUUCUAAUCAAUUCAUGACCAUUUCGAGCUAAAAAAUAAAUUACUCUAAGUUUAAAAUAUUUUUUUUCUAAGAAUUGCCCUGAAAGCAAUAAACAUUUUGCAUUGGCAAUAUUCAGUUUCAAACAUUUUGCAUUGGCAAUCUUCAGUUUCAAGAAGGCCGUAAUUUUAACAAAUAUUAAACUUUUCCUAUUUUAUAUACCAGACCCACAAAACCUGACUAUCAAUUCAUCAUUUAUUUUUACUCUUCAAAUUUAUUUGUAAAUUUUUUUAAAAAAAAUGACCACAAAAAAUAAUUUUUAAUGAAAUCGAUCCAGAGUUAGAUUUUUUAGCGCUAGAAAUUGGAAAAAUGCAAACUAACUUUUGGAUGUCAAUUACAUGAAAAAUAAUUUUGACAAAAUCAACCUCAAGAUGUUGGUAUUUUUAGUGCCCUAAAUCAGAAAGAUGCAAAUCAACUUUCGAAUGACCAAUUUUUAAUCAAAGACUUGCAAAAUACCAAGCUCUAGAGUUUGACUUUUAAUUAUUUUUUAGAUUUUUUUAAUAAAUCGACCUCUAUUAGUUAUUUUCAUAAUUUUUUAUGAAAAAAAUGACGAGUAUAGUUAGGGGUGUCAAUUUCAGCUCAUAUUUGUGAAAAGAGUCCAUUUAACCCAUAUUUAGUGAAUUGGAUCACUCAUAUUUCAAAUGAGUAAAUAUGUAAUUCAAUUCAUUUUAAAAGCUCAUACAAAUAUGGACAAAAUGGGUAAAAUAUGGGUACCCAUUUAAACACAGAGAUCACCAACCUAUGCUUAAAGUUUCAGUUUUUUUUUUCUUUUCUAGUUUCUUUUCGUCUUCUUUUUUUCUUUCUUUUUUUCUUUAAUUUACUUUUUUUCUUUUUCAUUUUUUUUUACUCAUUCCUUAUAAUUUCUUUUUUUCUUUCUCAUUUUUAAUCUAUUUUUUUAUUUUUAUUUCUUUUUUCUUUGUAUUCUUUUUAUUUUUUCGCUUUCCCUUUUCUCAUUUUUAUUUCAUCAUUCGUAUUUGUUUGAGAUCUACAUGGGUUAAUAAAUAUAAACUUCUAAUUAUCCCACUUAGCUUAUAUAAUUCAUAACAUCUCUUAUCAAUUAAAUAUAAUCCAUAGUCUCACUCCUUUAUUAUUAUUUUUUUCUAUCUUUUAUUUCUCUUUUUUUUUCUUUCUUUUUUCCUUCCUUUAUUUUACUAUUUUUUUCUUUCUUUUUUCCUUUAAUUUACUUUUUUUUUUCAUUUUUUCCACUUAUUUUUUACUCGUUUCUUACACUUUUUUUCUUUCUUCUUUUUCAUCAUUUUUUCCUUUUUCAAUUUUAUUUUUUUGCCAUUUUUUUGUAUUUCUGUUUCCCCCUUUUUUCAUUCUUGGUUCGUCAUUUUUGUCAUUUUUCUUAUUUUUUUAUAUUCUUUUCCUCAUCUUUUUUUUGUCAUUGUAUUUUAUAUUUUUUUAUUUUAAAUUUAUUUGUAUCAUACUAUAUAUUUCAAAUAAAUUUAUUAUUUGAAUUUGAAUAGUUUAGUUGUCAAUAUGUGCAAUUUAUCAUUUGUAUUUAUAUACAAAUAAGUAUAUAAAUGAAAAAUCAACAUAAGUUGUCGAGCAGUGGAUGGGGCUGCUCCACCCUUAACCAGAGGUCGAGGGUACGACCCUGGUUAUGGAGAAAACUCUGUUGGGAGCGCUGCCUCCUUAAGGGCCCUGCAACGCCCUAUCUGAAUUAGUCGGAGCUCCAAUGCAGGCACCAGACAUCGGAUGAAUAUAUAUAUAUAUAUAUAUAUAUUAAUUAUAUUUUCUUGAGACUAAAAUAUAUACGUUUGAGGAUCCACAUAGCCCUCGAAUUAUAAAUGUUGGACGAAUAUAAAUCAAUAUGCGCUUAUGUUAUUUUCGUUAUCAUAAAAAAAAGAAGGAAACCAAAAAUAGAAAAAAAAUAAAAAAGUAGAAAGAGAGGUAGAAGUUAGAAAUAGAAGAGAGAAAAAAGCGUAAAGAAAGAAUUGAAGAAAAAAAAUACAAAAAAAAUCAAAAAGAAAAAAUAAUGAUAAAGGAGAAAAGGAAAAAGAAAAAAGAUGAUGGUGAAAAAAAUAUACUGAGUGUUUACGAUAUUUUAGUCAUCAUCCAUAAUUUACUUGACUUAACCAUGUUCUUCGAAAAUAAAAAAAUAUAAAACAUAAAAUACAAUCAAAAAAGAAAAAAAAAUAAGAAAGAAGUAAAAACAAAAAAAUAAAAAAUAGAAAAAAAGGAAAAGAAAAAAAAAGAAAAAAGAAAGAGAAACAAAGGGUAGAGGGUAGAGAUAAAAGAGAGAAAAAAAAAAAGAAAUGACAAAUAAAAUGAAAAAAGAAAAAAGAAAAGAAAAGUAGAGGCUACAUAUAGAAGAGAGACAAAAAAAAACUAAAAAGAAAAAAUUAAAAAAAAUGAAAAAAAAGUCAAGUUAAUAUGAUAUAGAAGUUUUAAGUUUUUGACUUAAGAGUUAAAGUGGGUUAAAAUUAUUUUUAUCCAAUUUAUAUUUGACUAAAUUUAUAUUUAUCUAUUUUUAUAUGAACGAAUUGCAAUCCAAAUCAUUUUUGUUCGAUUCAUAUUUAACCCGUCCAAAUUCAAUCUAAUAUAUCUGUUUGCCGGCCCUGAAUAUAGUUGAACAAAUAAAAAAUAAAGUCUGAUAAGAGCUUCAACCGACUAAGUCAAAAAGCUGGGUAGAUGAAUUUAUUGAAUUGGAAUCAGAGUUUAAAAGUGGGCCAAUAAUAAAAUCACUUGGAUUUAAAAUUUAGUGUAACCAUUAGUCAAAAGGUGUAAGUGAACAAAAAAUGCAACCAAAGAGAUACUUUUAGUAAAAUACUAGAGUAAUCACGAAUUAUGUGUAACAUUUGAUUAUUUAAAAUAAAAUAUUUUUAUUCAUUGCAGAUAUUUUUAAUAAAAUAUAAAAGUUUAAAUUACUUUUCUAAGAUUUUUUACAUUUUAAUAUAAUACUAUAAACAUAAAUAUAUAUUUUAGUGUAAGCACAUAUUAAUUUUAUCACCUGAAGUUUCAAGUGAUUGAUAGAUAAUCACUUUUGUGCAACAUCACACCUUUGAUAAAUAUCAGAAAGUGUUCUUGUGCCUCUAACAGGUUCAUCAUCAACAUCAUUAGCUAGAAAUUCUAGAUUUUUCUGCUUUACAUCAUCUUGCCAGCUCCAUGUGUCAUUCUCCAAGAACUUGACAUCCUUGUUAAAAAUCAGUUUGUCAUUUUGAGGCUGAUAAAUUAUGUAAGAUUUUGAUAGAUUGUUGUACUUUACAAAGAUUCCAGGUUCAGCCUUCUUAUCCAGUUUAUCUCUUUUCACCUGAGGUACAUAACAAAAACAAAGACAACCAAAUAUUUUCAGAAUUGUUAGCAAAGGUUUGUAGCCAAACCAAGCCUUAUAUGGUGUUUUCUUUUGCAAAGCCUUAAUUGGCAAUCUGUUUAGCAGAAAUACUGCAGUAUUGGCAGCUUCAGCCCAAAACUUCUUUGACAGCCCUUUCUUAUAGAGCAAACACCUUGUCAUCUCCAUUAGCGUCCUUUUAUUCCUUUCCACUACUCCAUUUUGUUGAGGAGUAUAGGGUGUCGUUAGCUGAUGCUCGAUUCCUGCUUCAUUCCAAAAGUUGUUGAGCUUUUAUGAAGUAUAGUCAGUUCCAUUAUCUGUUCUUAUCACCUAAAUUUUCCUACAACUUUAAUUUUCCACAAAAGCCUUAAAUUUCCAGAAUACAUCAACGACCUCAGAUUUAAAAUUCAGAAAAUAAAUCCAACAAUAUCUAGAACAAUCAUCAAUAAAGGCAAUGUAGUACUUACUACCAUUUAAAGAUGGUGUUUUAUGAGGUCCGCCUACGUCCGUAUGAAAAAGUUGCAACUUAUUCUUUGUCCUCCAUGAUGAAUUGUAAAAAGGAAGCCUUAUUUGCUUCCCAUACUGACAAAUUUCACAAGCAAGCAAAUUUUUCUCAAGGCUUGGGAGACCUUCUGCGAGUUAAUUUUCUUUCAUGAAGAGUAUUGCAUUAUGAUGAUAAUGUCCGAGUCUUUUGUGCGAAAGCUCUGAAUUAUUUUCCAACCGGACAACUGUUAUUUGUUCCUCAUCCAAUAUAUUCAAGGAAAAACUCCUUUCUCGCAUCUUAACCUUUAACAUCUCUAUACUAUCAGAAUCCUUUAUGACACAUGCUUUUUCUUCAAAAAACACUUUGAAACCGCUUUCAAGUAGCUGUCCAACACUUAAAUGAUUUUGAUCAAGAUCAGGAACAAAGAAAACAUCAGUUAAAAGUUUCAAACCUGUAGGACUUUUAAUUGCAACUUUUCCUUUGCCUUUUGCAUCAACAUAUUCUCUAUUUCCAAUUUUUACUUUGGAAAUAAUAGAUAUCUCUAGAUCUUUAAAGAGCUCGUGAUCACUGGUCAUAUGAUUUGUACAUCCACUAUCAAUCAACCAAUUUUCAGAAGUGCUUUUGCUAGCAAAACAAGUUGCUACAAAUAAUUUCUCUUCUUCAUAUUGAUUUACAACAACCUUGGAUUCUUCUUGUUGUGUUUAUGACUUGUAUAUCCUCUCCACAUGGCCCAAUUAACCACAUUUGUUGCACUUGACAUCCAGUCUCCACCUACAUUUCUGCUAAGAGUGAUUUAUCUUUUUGCAAUGAAGGCAGGGUGGAGUACUUCCUCCCUGAUUGUUGUAAUUAUUGCCUUGCAUUUGCUUUUGGUUCUUUUUAGUUCCCUUGUAUGACUCGUUCUGUGAUUUAUCUUGAAAAACACUUUCAACAGAACCUUCUUUCCUCAUUAUUCACCUUUGCUCUGAUGCCUGUAAAGCAUUAACAAGUUCUUCCAAGGUAAUGCUUGACAGAUCCUUAGAAUUCUCUAAAGAAGAGAUUGUGGCUUCAUAUUUCUCAGGAACUGUGACAAGAAUUUUUUGAAUAAUUCUUACAUCAGUAAAAUUCUUACCAAACAAUCCCACCUUGUUGGCAAAGUCAAGUAGUUGAUCUGUAUAAUCUUUUACGGUUUCUGAUUCUUUAAUUCUCUUCAUUUCGAAUUCCCGAAUUAGAUUUAUCACUUGCAUAUUUUGAAAUCUUUCAUUUCCUUGGUAUUCCUUUUCAAGAUACUCCCAAAUUUCUGUAGUGGACUUCAUUUGCAAAAUUCUGGUAAGAAUUAAAGGAGAUAUCACAGUGAAAAGGCAUGUUUUGGCAUUGGCCUUCCUUGUUUUUCUCUCUUUGUGAUGUCUAAUCUGAUUCAUUGUUGAAUUAUAUCCUAGAAGAGUUACUUCAUAGUCCUCUUCUACUGCUUCCCAUAGAUCCAGUGCUUCAAGAUGAACCGUCAUUCUAAUUUCCCAAGCUUGAUAAUUCUCACCAUUGAAGACAGGUGGAGUUAGAAAGCUUGUUUCAGGAUUCAUUUUCUAUAAACUAUUUAAGAUAAAAGUUUAAAGAAUGGUUAUAUAGAAAGAACUUGUGUUUUUAUUUAUUUACUCUCUUCUCACAUGUCCCUCAAGAUAGCAAUGCUUUGAUACUAAUUUGUUGGAAAUAAAGAACAGAACUUAAUUUGUAUAAAGAAAAAAACAGAACUUAAACCAAGAAUAGAAAGAGCAAAAAAUUUGUGUUAUUUUUCAUUGCUUAUUGAAAUGAUCACUGUCAUAUUUAUACAUAAAACCAUAACUGAAAAAUCUUAAUUAAAGAAGUAAAAUAAUCUAUCAUAUCUCUAACAUUAUUGCCUAAAGAUCAGCAACUGUUAUAAAAUCAAAAUCUGCAUGAUUGCAACCUUAUUUACCUAAACUUAAUCCAAUCUUUAAAGUUGUACGCUAAAUUUCAGCAGCUAGUACAGCUAAUCUGCAGCUCUUAAGGCACUAAUCUUCACAAGCCCAUAUCAAUAGUUAAAAGGAUGAAAGAGGAUAAACAAAGAAAGAUGUUACUUUUCUUUUCUUACCCAAAGUAUCUGGGGAAAACAUAUUUCUGUGUUUAAUUGAGGAAUAGGAGUAUGAGAUUUUCUUCUAUUCUAGUUUAUAUUGAACAAAUUGAAUUGGUGAACAUGAGUUUGAAUAAUACAUAGCGAUGGUCUUACAUACCACAAGCAAUUGAAGAAAUUUAGAUCGUGAAGACGGAAUCAAACUUGAUUUAUUGAACCCAUUCUCUUGGGCCUCUUAGGAGUUCUGUUUGAGAGGAGGAAUAAGGAUGUUUGUUGGUAGAAAUCGUAUAAAAAACUGAUGGGGAAAAGUGAGUUUUAUCCUGUGAAACUUGAAGAAAGUAGGGAGGUGUUUUUUUUAAUUGUAACAUGUAUCUGAUGAAUAGUAAGUCUAGGAGUCUUAACGUACAAAAUUAAUGAAGCAGUAGGUUUUAAUCACUUGGGAUUAAGGUAGAAAGGAAAAUACGAAAUCACCUCCACCAAGAAUAUUAAAAUAAAAGGAAAAAAAUAGAAAAUUUUCGUCUGUUAUAGGGAUGUUCUGACUGUUCUUAGUAAAACACACGUACCUUUUUACUUGGGAAUUGGAUUGAUGAGCUGUUGGUAGCGUUUGAAAGAAGACUCAAAAAGAUUUAAUUUGAGAGCUUAUAGGUCACGUAACUCUACAUAUUCUAGGAGAAAUCCUUGUUUAAAUUUGGUCCUUGUAUGAACCUAUACCAAAACUUAAUCAUUAAAGGACCUUACAACUCAAAUUUGUUUUAGAUCUUUCUUAUGCCCUUAAUUCAUUCCCAAUACCCCUACGUCACAUAAGACAUGACCUUUACAUCUAGAUACAAUAAAAUUUCUAGAUUCACGUACAUUUGAAGAGCAGUCCAAUUUGCUUUAUUUUUAGCCCGAAAGUUCAGGGUGUUACAGUUGUGCUCUAGAGAUUGGCUUUGAGAGAAAAAAGGUAAAUCAUUCUGUGACAUACUAUUGCAUUGUUUUAUUUUUGGUAAUGAUGUUCCAAUAAAAAGUACAUUUCUGUAAGUUAUUAUAAGAUUGCAGUGAAUGGGAUUUCCUGUGAGGAUGAAAUUGGAUGAAAGAGAAUAAAAUGGGAGUUCAACCGGUGCAACAUCAGUAGAGAUUUAGUAUAGAUGUAAUAACAAUUACUAAUUAUAGGGAAGGGGGAAGUGAUAGUAGAGAAGUGUUUAGCAACAUUUUUAUGGUUGACAGUCCAAAAGGAUGAAUUUUUGGGCCUUUUCAAUGAAAUGAAAAAGGAAAAAGUGUAUGGUUGAAAUCCAUAACCUUAAAAUAAGGAGAUCAUUUACUUGAAGGGGUACGAAUUCAGUUGAACCCUUGAAGCGCGUAGGCUCAAGAGUGCAUGGUUGCUUUGGGCACCAUUGUAAAUUGGGUCCGAUCAUCGCAUCAAAUAUCUUUUUUUCUUUUGCAUUUUUUGUCGUUUCUUUGUUUCCUUUUACUUUCUUUUAUUUUUUGGGUUCCCCGUUUCUUUUUACGACUUUUUAUUCUUUGAUGUUUGCCAUUCUUUUCCUUGUUUGCUUUUGUUUUUUUUCCCUUUUGACUCAUUCUUGAAUUUUGAUGUCCAUGGGAAAUAAAAACACCCAUUUUAUCCAUACUGUUCUCUCUAUCUGAAGUUUUCACAAAAUAUUUAUGAAAAAGGUUGCGUCUUCUCCCUAAUAUUUUUUGUUUCUUUCCUUUUUCUUCAACGUGGUUAAUUCUAAAGAAAAUUUUCCUCAAAUAAUGGUGUUGCUCAUUUUAAAAAACUCACAAAGUACAAUUUUUCUGCGUCUGGUUGGUCUACUUACAUGACAUAGCUGCAAUGGUGUCUUUGUUAGUGCCAAACAAGUUUUGAGUAUUUUGGUUGAUGUUUUUCACUUGAAAAAUCGACUCCUGUUACAAAAUUAAACGAAAUGAUAGUACAAUGCACCAAUCUUCCUGUAAUUCUGAAUACACCAAUAAUCACAAAAACAAGUUUGGAAUAUUUUGUAGAUAUUUUACUUAAAAGAUUGACUCAUGUUGAUUUGCUUUUAACAAUUUAAAGUAACUUUGAUGUGAUAGCAACUUUAUUCUGUUUUGUGAAACACAAGCCAUGUGGUGGCAACUCUCAAGGAAAGAUUGGACAGAUACUCUUUUCUUCUCUUUUUGCUACUCCUUUUGAUAUGCUUUCACAUUAAUCAUUUGCUACUUAUUGGCUCUAUAUAUAUUGGAGUAACUUCGAUCAUUUGAAAUACCACACAUACAAAUUAAACAAGUGUCCAAAUUUCCUCGAAACAUUCCAUAUCAAGUGCAUAGUAACUACAUAUAUGGAGAAGCACAUUUUCUUACUGGUUCUUAUCUUUGUAAUUCAAUAUUUCUCUGUUUUUCUAUCACUUGCUUCAUCAAAUGAAACAAACCAAGAAACUCUAAUAGGUUUUCGAGAUCUUAUUACAAGUCCUAGUCAUUUUUUGGCCAAUAAAUAGACCAAAAAUGCUUCUUAUUGCUCUUGGUUUUUGUGUCACUUGCAGUACAAGGCAAAGAGUUGUAGCCUUGGCUCUUCCUAAUUUGCAACUUCAAGGCACAAAUUUUGUCUUUUUGGCCAAUUUGUCAUUUCUUAAAGAGGAGGAGAGAAUAAUGAUGUAACAAAAGCUCUUUGGUGGCUUAAAUCUUGUGUUUUGGAUGGUUUUUAGGUGAGGUAAAUGACCCUAUUGCCCUCAAAUACGCAUAAACAGAAAUUGGAAAAUGAGGGAGCGUGCGUCGCAUUUUUUGGAGCACCGAAAUGAAACGUACGCCGUAUAAUCGAUUGUGGGCUCCCUUUGGGUGGACUGGAGCGUGCGUCGCAUGCUAAUCGCGCAACCUCACUUCCUCCCUCACGAAAAUGACUAUUACUUUUCACCUGGGUAUCAGAUUAAGGCAAAAUUGGUAUCGUUGGAAAGCUGACUCAAAUAUCUACAAUUUGGGGGGUAUUUAGAUGCUAAUUUCUACAUAUAUCAAAAGUAAUACACAUUUAAAAUAGACCCUUGUAGAAUCGAAUACAAAGAUUUAGCUGAAUCAAAGGUUCUUAGCUCAACUUCACUCUAAGUGAUUCUUAUAUAGAUUUUUCACCUCCAAAGCACUUAAAACAUGAGGAUAUAGAUCAUAACACUUAUUCGAACUUCGAGAUAAUUUCUAUUAGAGCUUACACAUGUAGGAAAAAUAGUUAGAUCUCUAGUUCGCAAAUGUAGGUUGUUACAAGUGUGUUAUAAUUUCAAAAAUCAGAUAAAAUAGAGUGUUAAAGCCAAGUCCUCUGAAUUCACGAAGUGUCCUUAAGAAAAUAAUCCCCUCAAGUACCCGAGGUUAUGGAUUUUUUCUCCCAGGAUAAAAUGGCUUUCAAUCUAGCAAUUGUGGUACCUCAAAUUAUUGGAUACGUCGAACUUACUUAACAAUUAGAUGAUCAGACGGAGUAUUUCAGGAAACAAGAAGUGCUUUAGUGCAGAAAAAUUUUCGUACCUAAACCUGUGGAUAAAUGCAGGUUUAUAUAGCCAUUAGGUGCCUCUUCCAAAAAGACGCAAUGAAUCAAUGUGUCUUCUUACUGGACAGUCACAACCAUCCAAAAAGACACCUCUUUUCCCGAAUUAGUGUGUAGUUCUUUCUGGACUUCAUGUAUAUACGUUAAUUGAGGUUCAAUACUACAAACAAAACUGGUUGCAUUUUUCCAUUAUUUUUUCGGACUGUUUAAAUAAAUUUUAUCCAAAAAGAUAGAUUUCACCGAUCAUUUUCCAAAGCCAAAGCCAAAGCCUGUCACCUUUUGGUUCAUGCCUCACUUACCACAUGAAGUCAGUGUUUCAUAAUAUAAACACUUGCAAAAUUUUCUUCUCCCUCCAAUGUGGAAAAAUUAGUAGACUUUCCACUUUUGAGUACACCUUUUCAUUUUUGAGUGUUAUCUCAAUUAUUUUCCUCCAUUUUCCAUUCACACUGAGAUCUUAAACCAAACACUUCCAACAUAUGCCAACUCAUAAAGCUCAAAGUUUUUUCCAUAUCUUAUAACAAGAUAACUGGAGAUAUACCCAAAAAUUUUUGUUGUUUGUCCAAACUCAAGGAUUUUUAUACUGGCGAAAAUCCGAUAACAGGGUCUAUUCCUACUUCAUUAGGAUACAUUUCCACUCUGAAAUAUCAUAAUUGUGGAUACAAUCGCUUGGUGGGGCAAAUUCCUCCGAAUUAGGAAGCUAUCAAAUUUAAGAUAACAAGGCUUAAUAAUAAUCUUACUGGUCAAGUUCCAAAGGCUAUUUUCAUAUAUCUUCUUUGGAAAUAAUAGAAUUUAGUUUCAAUUAUCCCUCGGGUAGAAUUCCAGCUACUAUAGGUCUUCAUCUUCCAAACCUUGAAGGACUUUACUUCCAAUACAAUCAGCUCGAUGGGGAAAUUCCAUUGCUCAUAACAAAUGCUUCCAAGCUUGACAUGGUAGCGUGAGAAAAUAAAAUUCUCACAGGAACUAUUCCUACUAAUUUGGGAAAUCUUAGUGAGUUGUGGUAUCUGCUCCUACAUCAUAAUCGACUUACCAAUGAACCAAGAGAGCAUUAGUUGUGAUUCUUCUAUUGAUUGGCGGACUGUAGGAUGAUGCAAUCUCUACAAGUGGGUGGCAAUCCGAUGAUUGCAUUCUUCCUAAUUCUAUUAGGAAUCUUUCAUCUACUAUUGAAGACUUCCAUAUAGGAUAUGCAUACAUCUAUGGCCUAAUCCCCCAGGUUUAAGAAAUAUGAGCGGUCUUUUAUGUCUAGUCUUUAAACAUAACAACUUGAUGGGAAAUAUUCCUCCUGAGAUUGGUAAGAUUAAACAACUCCAAGGGCUCUAUCUACAAAACAAUAAAUUGAAGGGACAUAUUCCAGAGGUAGUAUUCCAUUUGUCUAAUUUGGUUCAUUUAACUAUGCGAGGUAAUGAGCUCUCAGGAUUAAUUUAACAAUGUUUAUGAAAUCUUAUCAUGCUACAAAAUCUUUAUCUUGGUUCAAAUAAUUUUUUAUCAAAGUUCUACUUGAGCCUUUGCAAGAUGAAUGGUCUUAUCUAUCUAAAUCUGUCUCCAAAUUCUAUAGAGGGAGAAAUUCCACAGGAUAUUGGAGAACUAAAUGCUAUUGUAGGCCUGGAUCUUUCUGGUAACCACUUCUCUGGCAUAUUACUGAGCAAAUUGGGGGAUCUCCAAAACCUGAAGUCUCAUGACUUGUCAAACAAUUUACUUUCAGGCCCAAUUCCAUUAUCCUUUGCCAACUUAAUAAUCUUGGAAAUCCUGGAUUAGUCUAUAAAUACCUUGUCAGGUACUAUUCCUAGGUCAUUAGAAAUACUUUUGUACCAUAAAGCCAUCAAUGUUUUAUUUAAUAAUUUAGAAGGUGAAAUACCCAAUGGCAGUGUGUUUGCAAAUUUUACUCAGCAAUCAUUUCUUGGGAACAGAGGACUAUGUGGAGUGCAUUUAUUGGAGGUUCCUUCUAGCACUAAUCCUGAACAACAAUCAAAGUCUAAGGGGAUUGUGGUAAAGAUUGUUACUCUACUGGUUAUUUCAUCCUUCAUGAUCCUCUUGUUGGUCUCAAAAUAGAUAACGAAAAAACAGAAUAAAGGAAAAUCCAAAGAUGUGGAAAAGGUACCAGAGACCAGGACUCAUCAAUUAGUUUUCUAUCACGAGAUUCAACGAGAAACAAAUUAUUUUGAUGAGACAAAUUUAAUUGGUGUCGGAAGUUUUGGCUCUGUGUACAAAGGCAUAUUAUCUGGUGGAAGCGUAGUGGCCAUAAAGGUUCUGGAUUUGAAAAGUGAGGAAGUAUACAAAAGGUUUGAUACUGAAUGUGAAGUAAUGAGAAAUGUUAGGCACAGAAAUCUUGUUUCGGUGAUCACUACUUGUUCUAGUGACUGCAUAAGAGCCUUUGUUCUGCAACAUAUGUCCAACGAGAGACUUGAGAAUCGGUUGUACAUGGAAGAUUUCCACUUAAACCUUCUUCGAGAGCCAUUGUAAUGCUUGAUGCAGCUAUGGGAAUUGAAUAUCUAGAUCAUGGUCAUAUCACUCCAAUAGUUCAUUGUGACCUAAAGGAAGCCAACAUUCUUUUGGAUAAAGAUAUGGUAGAUCAUGUUGGUGAUUUUGGCAUCUCCAAAAUUUUAGCUUUAAGCAAGUCCAUGGCAUAUACCAAGAUAUUCGGCACUCUUGGUUACAUUGCACCAGAUGAAUAAUAUCCCCUCCCUUUUGUUUUCUCUUAUCAUAAUUAGGCGUCUGUGAAUUCUACAAGUAAAAAAGGAAGUCUCAAUUUGUACAUGAUUGGUGUUAUAUUUCAAUAAAGUAACUUUCUUUCCUUUCAUUCUUUUCAAAGAAUAUUUCUCGGAGGGAAUAGUGUCCACUAAUGGCGAUGUGUAUAGUUACGACAUCAUGUUGAUGGAGGUUUUGACAAAAUAAAGAAUAACCGAUGAAGAGAUAUGCAAUGAAACUCUUGACUUGAGGAAAUGGGUAACAUAAUAAUUCUCGGGGAUAAUGAUGGACGUUGUGAAUGUCAAUCUUUUUUCUGAGGAGCAAAUCACGUCCAAAAGUGAAAUCUGCGUAGCCAGCAUGGUCGAAAUGGCUUUAGACUGCACCCAGGAAUCGCCAGAAUCAAGAACAACCAUGAAAGAUGUAGUCAAGAGGAUUAACAAAAUCAAGAACAAAUUUAUGGAAACAUAGAAUUUAGCAUCUCUUCUGAUGGUGUUCUUUCUGAGCUGCUAAUUAAUAUUGCUUUUUGUUUUCUUGGUUUCUUUAGUUAAGUUGUCGGAUACUACUAUCUGGAGUCAUGUACUUUUUGUACUUCAGACUGUUGCAUUUUUCUUAUUUUGUGAUUUCAGAUUCGAGUAGUUUCGUACCUGAUUCAUUUCAUUAUUUGUAGCUAUGUUUUCAAUUUUACUUUCUGUUUGCAAGCUUAAGUUGCUCCAUAUAUCCUGCAAUUUUAGUAUCCAAUUAAGUUGGUAACACAAAUUAUUAUUUAGUAUUCAAUACAGGCAGUGUGAAUAGAAUUAGAGACAGAGUCAAUAGAAUUAGAGGUAAGAGGAGUCUCUAUUUGCUUUGAAUAGGAAGGUGAGCUUAAUCGAGUGUAUAAAACCUUGCUCGAGAUCACUCUCCAUUUCUCAUUUCUCUGCCUUAGUUAGGGGAUCAUGAAAUUUUUCUAUAGGAUCUAGAACAGAAAUUUUACUUAAGGAAGCAAUUGUGUAACUGAUCUUCGAAGUUCUGUAAUACUUGUUCAUCCAAAUAGAAGCCAUCAACUUCUGUGGCUGAAAUGUUUCAACAUGAUUCAAGGUAUUAAAUUUCUUGAGGGCUUCUUCACCUUCACCGUGAUUUUGUGUUAAGGGCCAUAUUAGGGAACUGAAGUUUUGAUGAUUUCUCCUACUUUUAAAAUAUUACUUAAAUUUCAAUAUUUAUAACUUUUUGGUAAAGUUGAGAUAUAAGUUCACACCUCCUUUUCUGAAGUCGUAAUUUUACCAAAAAUUAACCCAUUUUCUCUUUUUUGUACGCCUUAAUUCAAGCAGCAAUUUCUAUUCGAUUUCUCUCUCUAAUUCAAACCCUUGAAUUAAGGAGAAUUUCUCCCCUAAAAUCAACUUCAAUUUCUUCUAUUCUGAUUUUACGCUCUUUUUUUCAAAAAAAAUUAUUAUGCGAUUUGUUUCACAAAGUGAUUUUUCAAUUUUUUGUUGUGCAAUUUCUUUGAUUAUCGUUUUUUGUGCAAUUUCUUUUAUUAAAGACGGCUAAGUGUUGUUUUCUGCUUUGUGUUCCUAUUUUUGUUGGUUAAUGACUCGAAUUUUUUUUUUCAUCUUUACUAGUUCAUGACAUGGCAGUGUUACUGCAAUUUGCUCUUCUGUUUUUGAUAUGAUUUUCAUGUUAUUUUCUCAUUUAUGUUGAUUUCUUGAGGUAGGCGUCUAUUACAGACUAACCACCCUUUUUAACUAGCUCUAACAUCUAUGUGGCCUCAAUUUCUAAACACUAAAACAUGAUAUUCUUUUGUCUUUAAUUUAACGUUCUGAUUAUUAUGCAUCUGGCGUUAUUGUGAACAUGAUUUCAAUUUGUUGGAGGUUAUUUGUUUUAUUUCAUUUGAUUUGGAAUUUUGAUUUGAUGAGAGAUAAAAAUGACCUUCUGGACACCUGUACUAUGUCAGUUUUGUAAGUUGGACACUUCUACUUACAUGAUUGUUAUCUGGACCCUUGAACCCAUCAAAAAGCAAUAUUUUGCACCCUUUGACCGUUGACCUUGCCUAUGUGGCAAGGUCAUGGUGAUUAGGACAAAGAGAGUGUAGCCACUCGCCUGGGGUGCGAGUGAGGGUCAAUUUUUGGCCAAUUUUACAUUAAAAUAAUUUUAAAAAUAUUUAAACAUUUUAAAAAAAUUUAAAAGGGUCCUUUUUUUUCUCCAUCUUUUUAAAUUUAAAAAUUAAAAAAUAAUUUUAAAAUAAUUUUAAAAUAUUUUUGAAAAUUUUAAANNNNNNNNNNNNNNNNNNNNNNNNNNNNNNNNNNNNNNNNNNNNNNNNNNNNNNNNNNNNNNNNNNNNNNNNNNNNNNNNNNNNNNNNNNNNNNNNNNNNNNNNNNNNNNNNNNNNNNNNNNNNNNNNNNNNNNNNNNNNNNNNNNNNNNNNNNNNNNNNNNNNNNNNNNNNNNNNNNNNNNNNNNNNNNNNNNNNNNNNNNNNNNNNNNNNNNNNNNNNNNNNNNNNNNNNNNNNNNNNNNNNNNNNNNNNNNNNNNNNNNNNNNNNNNNNNNNNNNNNNNNNNNNNNNNNNNNNNNNNNNNNNNNNNNNNNNNNNNNNNNNNNNNNNNNNNNNNNNNNNNNNNNNNNNNNNNNNNNNNNNNNNNNNNNNNNNNNNNNNNNNNNNNNNNNNNNNNNNNNNNNNNNNNNNNNNNNNNNNNNNNNNNNNNNNNNNNNNNNNNNNNNNNNNNNNNNNNNNNNNNNNNNNNNNNNNNNNNNNNNNNNNNNNNNNNNNNNNNNUAAAUUAGUUGGAGAAGAAUUUUAAUUAUUUGGAAUGGAUUUGAUUUUUAAUUUGUGAGAAAAAAAAUAAAAACAUGAUUAUUCAAUUUUAUCUACAAUUUAUAAUUUUAUCUUAUUUAAUUAAAUUAAUUUUAAUAUUUAAUUUGUUAUGUAGCAUUUAAAAAAUGAUUUGGAAUUUAAUGUAAUAUUUAAAAAAAAAUAACGUGGCAGAUGACGUGGCAGGUGUGGCAGACGUGGCAGCUGGCGUGGGGGAGAGUGUGUUACACUCACCAAAAAAGGGUUUAAAAUGUUAUUUUUUAGUGGGUUCAGGGGUCCAGAUGACAAACAUGUAAGUAGAAGUAUCCAACUUACAAAACCGACAUAGUACAGGGGUCCAGAAGGUUAUUUUGCCUUGAUGAGAAACAAUGAACUUUCAGCCUUUUAAGAAGGUCUGUUCUUUCAAAGUUAUUUGCAUGUUCAGAUCUGUUGAAUAUUAGGCCGAGAUACAUAUUUAGACAUGUAUGAUACAUUUUCAAAUUUCUUGUAUAUCUGGUUCUUUGUUUAUGAUUUUAUAUGUAUCUUGUGUUUAUUAAGUAUCAUUGAAAUUAACAUAACAAAAGAUACAUGUUUACAAGCUUAUAGAUACAUAUUGUUUUAUCUUGUAUCAGUGGUCUACUGUUAAUGAAUUUAAACGUUUCUUGUGUUGUUUAACUUUUAUUGAAAUAAGCGUUACUCUAGAUACAUGUUAUUUCAUCCAAGAUACAUAUUGUACUAUCUUGUAUAUAAGGUUACUCGAGUAUGCAUUAAAGUGUAUCUAGUGUUUUUUAAGUACUAUUGAAAUAAGCAAACAAAAGAUACAUGUUUUUAAGCUUAAAGAUACAUAUUGUAUAUCUUUUAUAGAUUGUUAUCUGCUUAUGCAUUUAUAUGUAUCUUAAUCACAUCAAUUUCCUUAUUUGGAAAAAGUGUUCUGUUUCUGCUUCAAUGCUUUGAUGUUCUGAAUGUGAGUUUACUAUUUGAGUAUUAUUGAAAUAAGCAAACAAAAGAUAAAUGUUUUUAAGCUUAAAGAUACAUAUUAUAUUAUCUUGUAUAAAUUGUUAUUUACUUAUGCAUUUAUAUGUAUCUUAAUCACAUCGAUUUCCUUCAUUGGAAAAAGUGUUCUGUUUCUGCUUCAAUACUUUGAUGUUCUGAAUGUGAGUUUACUAGUGUAGUCAUUCUUAUUUGAUUCAUAUUUCGGGUUUUGCAAAAUAAGCUUCAGUUUAGUCCUUGACAUAAUACCUAUUGUUGAUUUUGUGACCAAGCUUACCGCUUGAUGUGAACUUUGUGGUGAAUGUGCUUCUUUCACCUUGAGGAAGAUAAAGGAGACGAGGAUGGAGUUGAUUGCACGAGCAGAAGUAUAUAUGCCCGUGUUCCACAAGCACUAUGUGAGUGGGCAAGUAGUUAAAGAGGCUGCUAGAUGUGUUUUGGGGUCUCAAAAGGUUGAAUGCAGCUCUAUUUUGUAAUAUCUCAAGCAUCACUUGUCUUUGCAAUAUAAUAGGGGUAUUGGUGCAACUUUUCCUGUAUAAACUUUUGCACUUUCAAUAGCUAGGUAGUAAAUAGAACAUUUUCUUAGAAAUGUUAAGCAACUAUUGCAGCUCCAAGUCUCUCAUUUUUCAAAGUUUUUGAGGACAGAGUUGCUCUAUAUAUGUGUUAGUGAGAGGUUGUUAAGUGUUCGAUGAAAUAUUUGAGGUGCGAGUAAGUUAUGUCGGACACCAUAGCUAAAAAUAAACUAUUGUACUUCCAAGUCAUAUUUUGGGGAGUGUUCUCUCAAAGUGAUGAAAGUGAAAUGGCUAUCUAUGAUUAUCGUAUUUAUAGUACUUUUAAUUUCCUUUGCCUUCAAGGUUUUAACUCCAAAUAUGGUUGAUACACGUGCUUUACUAUGUUUUGUUUAAAAUUUUAAGUAAUGAAUACACAAUUUUGAAUCACAAGGAUUAAAAUUCUUGUCCCAAACACAUAUAUAUCCCAAGUGUUAAAACAUAAAAGAUCUCAGGCUAUUGGACAAAAUUGCAGAUAAACAAAUAUAGUUGUACUACACACAAAAGCUCUUACAAAUUGUUUCUAUCAAAGUACCGGCUACACUGAUUUGCAUCAUCUUAAAUUCACCCUUGUGUUACAAAGUAAUAACAAAAGAGACAGAUUACACAGAAGUAACAUAAAUAGAAAAAACACAAAAACAAGAUUGUUUUCUUCUACAUUGUCUUGCAUAUUGAUUAUAUAUUCAGAGCUCUAUGAAAAACUGAAUUUAGAUUUUUGAUAUUGAUGAUCACAUGUUUUCCAGGAUUUUUGUUUACAAGAACCGAGCUACGUGACAUUAGAACUCUUGCUAAAGCUUGAUAGCACGUUUCUUCUCUAUAUUCCUGCAAAAAAAAUGAAUCUUAAAUCAACUUUUACAACCAUAAACUGCACAAUUGUGUACAAUAUGUAUCUUUAACAAUACUCAUAUGUAUCUUUCGUAUGUCUACAUAGCUAAAAAUAAAACAUCACAAGAUACAUAAUUACACUCAAAUAAGAUGUUACAAAAAUAAGAUGUUUCUUAACGUACUGAAAAACAAAAUGAUAGAUACAUAAAAUGCACAAUCGUGUACAAUAUGUAUCUUUAACAAUAUUCACAUGUAUCUUUUGUAUGUUUAUAUAGUUAAAACUAAAAAAUCGCAAGAUACAUAAUUAUACUCAAAUAAGAUGUUACAAAAAUAAGAUGUUUCUUAACGUACUGGAAAACAAAAUGAUAGAUACAUAAACUGCACAAUUGUGUACAAAAUAUAUUUUUAACAAUACUCAUAUGAAUCUUUCGUAUAUUUAUAUAGCUAAAACUAAAACACCACAAGAUACAUAAUUAUACUCAAAUUUAGCACCAUAUAUACAAGAACACGAAAAAUGUAUCAUGAACACAAAAAAGUUAUGUAUCUCGGCCACAUUAACAUAACUAAAAAUAGUUACGUCAAAAAACUUAUCAAUUUAAAGUUAGAUACAUAAUUCUUAAACUAGAUACAAUUAACAAAAACUAAUACUUUAAACACGAUACAUGCCUUUUCUUGUACGAUCUUUUCAUAUAGAAGUUGAAGGAAUGCUCAAUUGCAUUAUGACUCAACAAAGGUGUCGCAUUACCAUCAACUCUGUAACAAUUGCAUCACUUUUAUAACCCUCAUAAUUCGUAUUGUUAAUCCAAACUCCGGAAUGACGUAACAACACAAAAUAUUCAUUGCAAGUAUGUCGAAGAAAAUCAACAAACGUGAAAAAAAGUUAGAGUCUUUUUGGAAAGUGAUAAUGGAAGAUAUUUCGUUUAAGAAUAUGGAAUAAGAAACCAAUAACCUUUUUCUGUGGGAUUUUAUUGAGUAUUUACUAUUAUUAGUUAUCUUAAUUGUUACAUUUAAGGAAAUUUAACUGUUACAAGCCUUAAUUUAAGCAAAUUAGUUUACUAACUAUAUGUAUCUCUAGGAUGUAUCUAACGUAAAUUAAAUGUAUCUCCAACGGCUAAAUAUUGGGAUUUUAUGAAAUUGAAAAAAAUGUUGAGAUUUUAGGUAAAUAUUGACAAACAUGUCGGGAUAUAGGUAAAUUAUACUAAUAAUAAACUUGGCCCAAAAAAUGUGUAAAGGUAGAAAGUUUGAUUUUUCCUCAACUAAUUAACGAUGCUUAUUUUGUUUAACUAAUUUUCACAUAAACGUGUGUAUAUGUAUCUAUCUAAUUAUAUACACACACACACACAUAUAAAAAAAAUUCAAACAUGUAAAUAUGUUAUAAUUAAAAUACAUUUAGCUAUAGUUCGGAAGUAAAUAAAUAAAAAUAAAAUAGAUUAAUUUGCAAAAAAAAAAUAUAAUAAUAUAGCAAGGAUUAUGUUAACACGCCAACAUAUAUUUAAUUAUUCAUUUUUAAAAAUUUAGAAUAUUUUUUUUUCAAGCAAGCUUAUAAGGUGUGACAUAGGUAUUUUAACAGUAAAGACAAGAAAAUAUCAUUUCCAAACUGUUAAUGUUAAAACUAUGGGAAAUAUAUAGGAAAAUAUUCAACAAUCUUAAGCAUCGCGAAAUUAAUUUUAUAAAAGAGGAGAGUCAAAAUUGGGUAUCAACAAGCAGAACAAGGGAGAACAUACAUAUACAAGAUCAUCAAAUACAAGUAAAACAUGAUAAGACAACUACAUAAAUGGCCAGUCAAUAUGACAAUACAACAUAAUAUAAACACAAUAAAGUAAGUGUAAUGUAUAGGAUGAUGAUGAUGAUGAUGCACCAGGUCAUCGCACAACCUUCGGGAUCUAGCACAAUCCCCGUACACACCUAUGAAGCUAAAGCUUCCCGAUGUAGGACCCAUGGGUGGUUCGUCAACCCGUAUACAAUUCAUAUAUCUCAUAUCUCAUUUUCGGCAUAUUCCUCGGAAAAAGGCUUUAUAAGGGGUUACAAUAUCUCUUCCCCGACACAUCCCUCGGGGAGGGUUUAAAAAGGUGUUGUCUGUGUUUCUCAGAUGUUGCCACGGUGGUACCAAUAUUUCAUGAAUAAGUAUGAUAUGAGGAUGUAAUGCUCACAACCAAUCACAAUGAGUAUUUUCACAAGCAACCAUAAUGAUAUAUUUCCAUAACCACUUGAGCCAAUAUCCACUCAUUAUUUCAGUUUCAUCCACGAAUUUCCACAUGUCUCAUAUGCCAAUAAAGUAUGAAUAUAAUCAAAAUACACCAAUGGUACCAUAAUAAGAAUCUUAACAACACAAUACAAUUAUUCACAUGUAUUUAGGGCUAUCAAUAUCCCAUAGGACCCCAAACGGUUACACAUAUCACAUAAUAACUCAAUUUCGGAAAUUAGGCCCCCACACGGGCACAACACAUAAAUAGCCAUUUUUCAUGAUUAGUUCUCAUCCUUAACAUGCAUUUUGUAUUAUUGUUUACUACUCAAUCCAGUCUGAAAGAGUUAAGCCAUAACCUACCUAAAAAGUCGAAACCGAUCAACAACACUUUGAACCACGACCUUACUUUUCAAGAACAAUCUCAAACUCCACUAAGAAUGUCAAAUAUGAAAUCUAUGCAUCAAAACAAAACCAACGACACUCAUAUUGACUACUUUUGGUUCGGGGUCAAAAGGACCUCCGGAACGAGUUUUCAGAAAAAAAAGGGUUCGGAACUUUACUUCAAAAACAUGUUCCCCAUAUUUUUAAAAAUAUACAGUUGAAAAUCCAAGUCAAAUCGAGUAAAAAAACGAGGUUCAAAUUGAAGAAAAAUCAUUUGUAAACUUUACCGGGUAAAAAUAUUUGAGAUACGGGUUAAAAUCAAGAAUCAGAAUUGUUUUAAGGGUUAAAUUGAUGAAAACUAGUAAUUAUAAAAGAUAAAAGUAUUAUUCAAGUGAAAAGAAUUAAAACUGAGGUUUAAAAUCAAACAUUAAGCUUUUUGGGAUUUUGAGAAAUUAAUUAAGAAAUUACUAAGAAAAGAGUGAUUUCUUACCUUCAAUCCGUGAUAGAAUCAAGAAAUAUAUGUUAAUCUAGUUUCCCAAGCUCUCACAAGUUUCACUUUUAAGCUCUCACACUAUUUUAGGGUUUAACUCUCAAGAGGAAGUUGAAAGAAUGGGCAAAAAUCGGAUAAAAAAGGCUAUUUAUACUGUAUCCGGGUUAACAAACAUCUAACACAUAAAAUUCAUUCCUCAAUCUUGAUUUACCCAUUAUGUAUCUGGUUGCACCAUUAACCUGGUGCACCAGACGUUUUUAAUUCGAAGCGGAUUUCGAUCGGAGUUUUAUAUACGCAAAUGAAUUAUAUAACCACCAUAAAUUUGACGUUUCGAAUUCAGUGGGGAUAUCGAAAUUUCAAAAAAAAUAAAUCAUUUUCACAAAGUCGGUCCUCGAAAUCCAAAAUCAUAAUUUUCCAAAAUGAGGGGUCAAAAUGAGAUUUAAAAGCCGUAAAAUUACACCAAAUCUGUCACUACCCUAAAUCGACGUUCUGGAUCUGCUGGUAAAGUCGAAUUUUCCAUCCGAGGUUAUUUCGACUAAAUGUGGGUCCCACACCCAUAUUUUAAAAUUUUCAACUUUUCGACUAAUAGGUCGAAAUAACCUUGGGUGCACCAGGACCCAAACCAAAGGUCUACCAGCCUAAAAUUGAUAUUCUGGAGCUGAUGGCGCAGUCCGUUUAGCCAUCCAUCCCACGAAUCAAAAGAUAUCCCUAUAAAUCUAAAAUAAGGCUCUUGAAGCCAUCAAAAACCACAAUAUCGCAUAAAUGGUACCAAAAUGCAUCGGAAACCAUGUUAGUCGCUCCGACGCCCCAGAAAUGCCAUAAUGCAACUACAGUAUGGGGUAAAACAAUUAAAUCAUAUAAAAUCACAAAUUUCAUCAAAUUUUUAGGUCGUUACAGGUAUUCUAUUCGACAUUUUGAUAUGUUUUAUAAUUUUCGAACACUUUAUCAAGUAUCAAACUUUUUAAAAAUACACACCAAAUACCACAACACCAAAAUCAUCAUCUCAACAAUUUCAAUUUUGAUGUGAUAUUUAGUAGGACAAAAUUCAGAAAUAGCAUAUUUAUCCCCUUAAUUAUGAGUGGGAGAUAACCUAUUCAGUUGCAUGCAUAGAUUCUUAUUAGAAGCCUCGCACCAGUUAUCAUUGCGUAAUCAGUCAUACUUUCAUACGUUAGUUCAGUCAGAUAUGCAUGCAUUAGAAAUUGUAUUUUGUGUUUUUGUAAACUGUUGCUAUAAAAAUACAAAUACAACUAUUUUUACUGCCCUUAAUUAACUGAUUUAAAUAUAGUAAUAAUUUCAUAAAUUUAACUGUUAAAGAUUACCUUCCUAUUAAAAGCUCCUCAAUCACGCCUUUUCCGUUAUAUGCUAACAAACCUAUUCAAAUUCAAAAAAUAGUUUCCUUCCUUUCAUAACACGUGAUCCUUAAAAAAAAUCAAUUCAAAUUAAGUUGAAUCUUCAAUUUCGCUCUAAUUGAACAAUCAAAAUUCAAUUGUAUUUGUUGGUGUUCAAUAUCAGUUUGAACAAUCAGUUCGUUAAGUUCAGCAAUCAACAUUACCUUCUUCUCAAUACAACUUCGGAAUUCAAGUUGAUGUUGAAAAUUUUUGCUUAACUAUUGUUUCAGGUAUUAAUUCUUUUUGUGAGUAUAUUUUUUUUACAAAUUGGAUUUUGUUAUUUUGAUCGUUUUUUCAGUUGAUCAAAUUGUGAUGCUUUGUAGAAAUUUGUCACAUUAUUAUAUAAUAGAUUAUGAAUAUAUUGUAAGCAAAUGUAGAUUUUAAAGUUUAUUCUAUUAUUUUUUGAACUCGUAGAACAAGGAAUGAUCAAAUUCGGGUUUCCAAGCUGAUGAAAUUCUAAUUAUUUGUAGUUUUGCUUGUCGGAAUUUGAGUAUAACAACAUAUAUGAAAAGAUCUUUUAUAUAUGUUCAUUUGUGUUUGAAUCUGGAGGUUCUGUAUCUGGUUGUAUUUGACGCUGAACACAUACUUUGUCAUUGUAUGUAACUUGAAAUAAUUUAAUUUUGUUCUAAGUUUUAUAUAACAAAAGUUUUGUAAAUGUAUUUUUUAGUACUUUUGUUGGGUCAUAUGAAGUGAUAGAACAAAUGUUUUGGUUGUGUGCAAUUCUGGUGGUUUUGAAUUUAAUCGUACGUAACCUUUCAAUAGAAAUUUUUAAAAAAAUUUUAUGGCUAAAAACUUUUGUUGUAUUUGUAUUUUACUUUAAACAAAUAUUGUGUGAAUGUAUUUUUUGAUUGUAGAUGUUGGCUGUGUAACUUUGUUUGCGAUUAAAAUUGAAAAGUGUAUGUUGUAACAAUUGACAUCUGACAAAUAUAUAUAUAUUCGUUUAUUUUUGGUUUAAUCACUUAGAAAUGGGAAGCAUACUAGUUCUUGUGAAGCACUCUGGUAGGUGGACGUAUGAAAAAAACUAUGAAGAUUACGUCACUGAUGCUAUAUUGUUGAGCACAACAACAUCAUUCAUUGAGCUGCAGCAUCUCACUUAAAUGUGGACUUAAUCAGCAAAUAUAUUAUAGUGAAAUAUCAAAUCACUGGUGAUACAGGUCAAAUACAAAUACAUAAUGAUAUGGGUUUGAAGGUGUUUAUAGUGCAGAAAAAACAAGAAACAAGACAUGAAUUGUCUUCCUUUUAUGUAAGCAUAUUGGAGAAAGUUGUAGGGAGCAACUUUGCAAGUUCAUCUGUGUGUGUUGCUGAUAGAAGAGCCGACUGUAACAACGUGCAAAAAGUGAUAAAUACAUCUAAUGACGGAGCUUGGGUGGUUUUGAAGAUACACCAGUAUUAGAUGUAUUUGAGAUGGAUACUGUUGAGGUGAUUAUCUCAGACCCACAUCACAAGUAUAUUGAGGAAGACCAGGUUUACUUGACGAAAAAAAAUUAAAGUCAGUGAUGAAGGAUUAUACAAUAAGGGAGAAAUUUCAAACUCGAAGUAAAAGGUCAAGUAAGAAAACGUACGUACAUUCUAUAUCAUUUAUAUCAUGUUUAAAAUGAGUUUGGAUAUGUAUUUUGAAUGUAUUAAAUUAUGUUGGAUGCAGUGAUAUAUUGUUUUGCAAAUCAAGGAACAAUUUUUUAAUGUGUGCAUCAGGUAUGGGAGAUUCUGGAAUGUUUAGAAUAAGAGGACUCAUACCUCAAUAUACUUAUCCGGUGAAGGACAAGAAAUAUCCAAAGAUGCAUGCUACUAGUAUAUUGAUAGGUGGUAUGGUUAAACAGAAAUUCAAAAAUCACAAACGAAAAUACAAUGCGACCGAAAUAAAAAUGACAUGAAGGAAGAGUUUGGUAUGGAUUUGACAUACACUUUAUGUUGGAGGGCCAAGGAAAGAGCAUUAGAAGAGUUGAGGGGUAAGCCAUCAGCAUCUUACGGGAAACUACCAUCAUACUUAUAUGUUUUGAAUAAUAUCUAUCCCGAGUCACAUAUAAGAAUGAAGAAGACGGAUGAGAAUGAGUUCUUGUAUGUAUUUAUCGCUCUACAUGCAUUCAUUAAAGGAUUCAAUCAUUGUAGACCUGUCGUAGUUGUUGAUGAUAGUCAUUUGAGAGAAAUUUAUACCGGGGCAUUUGUAACAGCAUGUAUGAUAUAUAGAGCAGGUUAGUAUUAUUUUAUAAUUACAUUGUAUAACUGGUUGUAUUUUUACAUGUAUUUCUGCAUAUCACUUGAAAAUACAUAUCUCUAUUUGAUAUAUACAUAUUUGUAUAAAAUUACAUAUAUUUUCAAAGUUUCAUGAAUGAAACAUGUAAAAUUGAUAAUGUUCGAUUGUGAUGUGCAUCUACAUUUUAUUAUAUGUAAUUGAUACCAUUUCUUUGAUAAAAUAUACAGUUUUAUUGACCUGUAUUUUUAAUAAAUACAUAUAUAGUUACUAUAUUUAUUUAUAUUUGACUGCGCAAAAUAUUUUUAUAUAUACAGGUCAUAUAUUUUCUUUGGCAUAUGGUGUGCUUGAUUCUGAAAAUGAUGCAUCUUAGACUUGGUUCUUUGAGAAUCUAAAGGAAACAUACGGGGAAAGACAAAACAUGUGUGUUGUAUCUGAUCGGAAUCCAAGCAUGAUAAAGGUUGUUGGUGAUGUGUACAAAGAUGUUCCACAUUAUGCAUGUAUGUGACAUCUAUGGGGAAAUGUGAAAAACUUUACAAAAAGUCACGAUGCAUUAUCAGAGAUUUUUUAUACAAUGGCCAAAGCAUAUUUAAAGUCAGAAUUCUACAUGUUAAUGGAAAAGGUUGAGGCAAUUGAUAUAAGAGUGAAGAAAUAUUUGAAAUUGGCUGGUUACGAAAAGUGGGAUAGGUCCUAUGCAAUAGUUCACCGAGGAUGGACUUUGACUUGAAACAUUAUGGAGUCAAUAAAUGGACAGCUAGAGAACUGCAAAUUUAUGAUUUUCUUGAGGAAGUUCGAUUGUUGUUUGCAAAAUAAAAUUGCGAAAAAAGGCAGGAGGCUUCAUAUACCUUCACAACACUCAUUUGGAAAGUUUAAUGACAUACUCAAAGAGAACGAGGCUUUGUAUACUCGUAUGAUGGUAUGACCUUUUAGAUUUGUGGAAUUAUAAUUAUGAAAAUAUAAGUAAGAAAAUAUCUUCCCUUCAGUUCUAAAUUAAUGAAACCAUAUACAACAUGAACAAUAUGAACAUUAAAAACAUAUUAUGUUUUCUGCAUAUGUAUUUUUUGUAUUUAAAAUUCUUAACAUUGCAUAUGUAUUUAGAUGCUCAGUAAAAAUGAUGUACUCUGCAUAUAUAUUUGUAUUGCAAAAUGCUGGUGUGGUUACAACACAUCAGAGAAUAUGGUUUGCAUCUUUUUGUAGCAGUGCAUUUACCUUUUUCUUUUGAUAUCAGGUUGUACCAGCCAUAGAAUAUGUAUAUACAGUGCACGACAAAUAAAAUCACUUCAUCAUUUGCCUCAAGAAAAGAAAGUGCUCAUGUAAUACAUUUCAACUCGAUGAGAUACCAUGUGCACAUGUUUGUGCGGUGUUGGAUAACAAAAUUUUUCAAAAGGGGCCGUAUUAUUGUGAUUUGUUUAAACCAAAAACUGUGUUGAAGACAUAUGAUGUUUCAAUUAUCCGUUGCCAUGCCAAGAUGACUAGAGAAUUUCAGAUAGCGUACUUAGUGAAAUAGCACUGCCUCCGAAGUUCAAACGACCUCCAGGAAGACCUGCAAAGAAGAAUCGUGGAAAAUCGGGCCGGGAUAUAUUUGGAAAGAAAAACAUCAACUCAUUCGGUGGUUGUGGGGCUAAGGGUCACAAUAGGCGUUCUUGUAGGAAAUAUCGCAAAUGAUACAUUUGUUUUUUCGUAUUAUUUCUUAAAACUUUCUUUUUCAGUUUUUAUAAUAAUGAACUAUUUUUUGGGGGUUACUACAUUUAUGCAUCAUUUGAUAACUGAACACAGUUAGAUCUGAAUACUGCAUAUGUAUAUGUUACAAAAAUCUGAACAUUGCAUAUGUAUUUUGAAGCUACAGUUCAUAUGUAUUUUUAACAUUGUAUAUGCAGUUUAGGGCAAAGUUAGUAACUUUGAUUAACCAAACAUGUAUUUAGGUCCUAAAUGAUCAAAGAUUUAAAUACAUAUGACAUAUUCUGCAUAUAUAUGUUUGAAUUGCAAAACCAUAUCACUGCAUAUGUAUUUUUAGGUUAAAUACAUUAGAUGUAUACUGCAUAUGUAUUUUUAAGCAAAAUGUGAACACUGCAUAUGUAUUUUUUAAAUAAAUCUCACAUUAAAAAAGAAAACUGCAUAAAAUACUCAAAUUAAUCUUUAAUUCAAAUGAANNNNNNNNNNNNNCGGUGGUUGUGGGGCUAAGGGUCACAAUAGGCGUUCUUGUAGGAAAUAUCGCAAAUGAUACAUUUGUUUUUUCGUAUUAUUUCUUAAAACUUUCUUUUUCAGUUUUUAUAAUAAUGAACUAUUUUUUGGGGGUUACUACAUUUAUGCAUCAUUUGAUAACUGAACACAGUUAGAUCUGAAUACUGCAUAUGUAUAUGUUACAAAAAUCUGAACAUUGCAUAUGUAUUUUGAAGCUACAGUUCAUAUGUAUUUUUAACAUUGUAUAUGCAGUUUAGGGCAAAGUUAGUAACUUUGAUUAACCAAACAUGUAUUUAGGUCCUAAAUGAUCAAAGAUUUAAAUACAUAUGACAUAUUCUGCAUAUAUAUGUUUGAAUUGCAAAACCAUAUCACUGCAUAUGUAUUUUUAGGUUAAAUACAUUAGAUGUAUACUGCAUAUGUAUUUUUAAGCAAAAUGUGAACACUGCAUAUGUAUUUUUUAAAUAAAUCUCACAGUAAAAAGGAAAACUGCAUAAAAUACUCAAAUUAAUCUUUAAUUCAAAUGAAUAUUUGAAAGUUUGAUUUACACUAAAUGUACUUUGAAAAAUUGAUUUAGCUCAAAUUUAUUUUGAUAAUAAAUGAACACAUUUUAAAAUACAUAUUAGCUAUGUUCCAGAUGUAUCUUUGAGAUGCUUAAUCUUAACAAUGCAUAUGUAUUUUUAUGCUAAAUACAUUUGAUGUAUAAUGCAUAUGUAUUUUUAAGCAAAAUAUGAACACUGCAUAUGUAUGUUGUAACUAAAUUUCGUAAUAAAAAGUAAAACUGCAUGAAAUACUCAAAUUUAUCUUUAAUUCAAAUACUCAUUUAUAUUGAUAAUAAAUGAACACAUAUUAAAAUACAUAUUAGGUAUGCUCCAGAUGUAUUUUUGAAAUGCUUAAUCUUAACACUGCAUAUGUAUUUUUAAGCUAAAUACGUUUGAUGUAUACUGCAUAUGUAUUUUUAAGCAAAAUAGAACACUGCAUAUAAAUUUUUUAACUAAAUCUCACCGUAAAAGGUAGAACUGCAUAAAAUACUCAAAUUAAUCUUUAAUUCAAAUCAAAAUUAGACCUUCAUCAAAAUAAGUACUAUUAUAACCUAUGAUUAGAACCACUUCAAAACAAAAAAAAUUAGUUUGUACAAUCAGAACCUACAUCCAUGCACCAGUUUCUCAGCUAUACAAAGUAAUAAAUCCAUCAACCAUCGUAUAUUAAAAACUUUAGUAACACUAGUUAUUCUAUUUUGUCUUGCAGGCCUCAAGGGUGCUUCGACGUCACUAUGAGCAUUUGCUUCUUGUUUUCGGAUAGUCCCACAAAAGUUCAACGUAUCUUGUAUGGAGUGCAUUGGGAUCGAACUCAGUUGAAAGAACUUUGUGACCAUAAAAAAGGCACCCUGUAUAUGUAACUAUGUAAAGACCACAAUCCCUACAAAAAGAAAAAAAAUUGAUUAAUAACUAAAAUAUAUUUUGUACAAACAUACAAUUUUGGUAGAUGUAUAUUAAAAUACUUACAAGUUUCCACUCAGUUGUUGAGGCAAAUUCUUUUCAAAUAACACAUCAAACAUAUCUGAGGAGUCUUUGUCUUUGUAUCUUGGAUGAUUUUGAAGAUCAAUUCCUUUCUUAUUGUAGAAAUCACAUGCUUGGAGACACAAAGGGAUAAUCUCAGCUAAUUUCUCGAUCUCAGCAAGAACAGCCGGAUAAUGACCAGAUGAUCCAUAUGAAUCAUAUAAGAAUAUGUACCUCUCUGAGAAGGAUAAAACUGCGAGCACCCAGUGAUGUUUUUUCUUUUUAUUGACUGGAAUAUAAAUGUCUCCCACUGUAUGCCAUGGCACAGUAGCAUGCAUACGGAACCCAUUGAUUUAUUCAUUAAGAUAGACCUCUUGUCCUCCCACCGCAAGGUUUGAAUCAUCCACAGAAUAAACAUUAUGAAUAGACCUAAUUAUGUUCAUAAAGUUGCAAUCUACUCUGCUGAAUUUGUAAAACCUGUUGGGGUCAUACUUCGACUUCUUCCUCAAGUAGUAGAAGCAAACAUCAAUUUGCUGCAGUAAUUAAAACCACAAAUCUUAGUACAUUCAAAUAAUUUGUAUACUAAAUUAGCAUGUGUAUAUAAUAUAACAUACAUAUGCAUUUUAUAGUUUAAUGACUACAAUUUACGUAUGUAUAAUUACAUUUGUAAACUACACUUAUAUACAGACAAUGCAAGAAAAAUGAAUAUUCAACAGUACGUGAUUUGAUAGAAAUUCAUAUGUGUAUUAAUAAGUUAUAUAUGUAUUUUUAACACAUCAUUUGUAAAAUAAUAAAAAACAUUGUAAAAAUACAUAUGUGUACCUGUAUAUAUAUUUACAGGUAAUAUAAUAUGCAUUUUAAAUAGUAUUACAACUGCAAAGGAAAAAUUAUCAAAAUAAUAUACUAACCGAGUGUGUCCAUGACUGGUCAGGGAAUCCCAUUGCGUAGAAUCCGUUUUUAUCUUCAACUGUCUCAACUCCGAAAUGCAUCAUUGGAAUGGCUGAUUUGCCCUUUUUGUAAUGAUCAACAUUUUUAUUUAUGUUUUUUUAUCAGUACAUGUUAAAUCAUGAAAACAUAAUGAAAUUUAAAACAAAAGUUGAAACAGUUUAAAAGAAGUACCUUUUAGCAUGACCUUUUAGAAGGUCGACCGAAAUUCAAUCCAAGAACUUUUUGACAAUCUUCGUAUCCAUUAUCCAAUCAAUCAGGUGAUAAACCAAUGGAUAUUUCUGGGGGAAUAUACGUAUGUGUCCUACUGAUCUUCCUAUCUGGGGAAUAUACGUAUGUGUCCUACUGAGCUUCCUAUAUAGUUACAGAAUACAAAAAUGUAAUUAAUAAAAACGUAUUUGCAUAACAUAUUACAUUGAAAACUAUAUAUAUAACUUAGUGCACUCCUUGAACUUGGAUGGUCGCCUAGUCCUUAACUUUUGAAUGGGAGUUUGAAGUUCACGAUUAGCAGAGGGAUGAGAAAUGAUGCUUUUACUACUGUAGACAUUCAGACAAGGAAGCAGCUCAUCAGGAAUUGUAUUUUGUAAUUCAGGUCAAACUAGUUCAUCCCUUUGUUCAUCAGUGGUUAGUUCUUAUAUUUUAGGAGGUGUCGUAAUUUGCUUCUCCAUACCAAGAUCAACCUCUACAUACAACUCUGAUUUUGACCUCAAUUCAAUGUUCUCUUUGUUUGUCUUCAAAAGAUGAGAAAAAGUUUAGUUUGUUUUGUCCAAAAUAACCCACAUAACCUCAAAAAUAUGACCAUUAUACAUACUUGACAAUGAUCUUCAACAACAGACUAAAACUUUUUAUCAUUCAAAUAUUCAUCAGUAGGUUUUUCUUUGCGGGUUGCCGAUAGAUGUGUGGUGAUACUUUCUCUCCAGUAGGCAUUUAGACUUGGCAACAACUCAUCUGGGAUUGUAAACUGCGAAUCAAACAAAUUUGUUUAAUCCAUUUUGUCAUCACUGAUCUGCAAAAGAAAUGAAAAAAAUAGAUAACUAUCCUCUGGAUUGUUAGGAUUGUUACAUCGCAUAAACUCAAAGUUUAAUUCAUUAUACAUAUUCGACCAUCAUGAUGAACAAUCUUCUCAGAAUAUAUAUAAUUCAAAUUUAUACUUCGGAGGAGCUCAUCAGGGAUUAAAAGUUGAGAAUCAAUUUCAACGUUUGUUUUAUCUGGAUGCAAAUUAGUUCACCCCUUGCAAACAAGUAAAAAAAAUUAAAACAGCAUCAAAGAAAAAUCCAAUUAUGUAUGUUUAUAUAAGUCUAUAUAUAAAAUAACACAUAACUGCUAAAAAACAAAAUUACAUAUGUGCACUCAAAUGAAAAAACAUAUGUUAGUUAUUAUUUACCUUUGUACCAUCCUGAUUUUCACCCAAAUUCUGAUCAACAUUCGGACUGAAUCGUUGUGGUGAUGUUUCAGCACCAGUACAAUCCAUAUGUUGGAGUUCAAAAUCUUUAUCUUUCUAUUGUUUCUACAAAUAUAAGUUCAAUAAACUAUUAAUACUUGAGUUCACUGAAUAUGUAUAUACCAAACCACUUAAAAUACAUAUUGCUAUAAAACAUCAUUCAAAAAAUACAUAAUAAUAUACAAAACUAAAAGCAAACUAUUUUACAGAUUAUAAUAUUUACAAUCAAUGUAACAAUACAUAUUCUUAUAACAAAAUACUCACAAAUACAUAUGUAUUUUUAAAUACACUGCAUAUUUUUUUUUAAUACACUGCAUAUGUAUUUCUGAAUAUCCUGCAUAUGUAUUUUUGAAUAUUCUGCAUAUGUAUUUUUGAAUACUCUGCAUAUGUAAUAAUAAAAGUUUUACCUUGCUUUGUUCAAUUGCUUUGAGCAUUAGUUUGAAUUUUUUUUUCACUAAUCUACGAAUUCCUUUAAACUCUUGACGAACCUGUUUUCAUACAAAAGUAUUAAACACAAUUUUUUUAAUGUAAAACUAGUAUUUAACAAAUAAUUUAUCUCGUCGUAGAAUGCAUCAAAAAUAUUCUUAGAAAUGAAGGUUUCUUUUUUACAAGACUAUCUGGCUUUGACAGGGCUUCUAUUUCUACAAGACUCUCUGGUUUUGACUGUACCUGAGGAAAAAUAGCCCUUGCUUUUGCUUCACUUUCUUCGUUUUUGAAGAAGUUGCAUGUCGUGUUUGAAUUGGCUUAAAAACUGGCAUCUUCAUACCAACAACCUUUGCAGCGCGAGGAGCUGGUGUCCUCUUUUGGGUAUGCUCGUCUACAAUAUUGACUGACUUUUUUCUUGAUGGUUUCUUCACUGCAUGGGUUGAUGAAUCAACCUUUUGUUUCUUUUUUGGAUGUUAAUUGAUCUGUUGUGGUGGUGUAUCCUGGAAGUCAUCAUCCGAAUCAACUGAACGUUCAUCUUCAAUUACAUCCUUCUGUGGUAUUUGAAACUUUGCCAAUUCUGUUUGAGUUGGCUAUAUGUUCUUAAAUACAACCUAGAAAUAUAGAUAAAAUAUGUUAAAGAAUCUGUUAAAUAAUUGUAAAUGAAAAUGUAUACUAUAAAAUACAUAUUAAUACAUAUGUAUUUAUUAACAACAAACCUUGCCAUUGUCAUUGAACAUAGCAUCCAUCAAAUACUCAAAACAUGGUCGGGGCGCAUUUGUCUUCCAAUUUAAUAAUCGAAAAAUUCGAUUAUCAACCUUCGAUGCAAUCUUUCGUGGGACAUUUGAACAAUACUCGUAAAGCCACACUUGAAUAGUCAGUGGCAUUCCCUGAAUCAAAUAAAAUUUACAACCAGUUUUCAACCUGUUGUUCAAACUUCUCGCUAGAUCGUCAAAUGAUAAAGUAUCCCAUAGAAAAUCUUUAUAUCUUCCACUAUCUACCAAAUUAAAAUAUAGUAGGGGUAUAACCACAAUAUGAACAUUAGAUAAUACAAAAUCCUAUUUGGUACACCCUCGUAAAAAAUAAAGUCGUACCUAUUAGACACACCAUUUAAUCCAGUAACGAUGGCAAAUUUCCUAGGAGUAAAAUUAAGAGAGGUGCCAUUAGCCCGAAUGAUUAUCCCAGAAAAAGAACUACCCUUAACCUCGAGCGUCAUAACACAUCGGCACAAUUGUGCUUGAACUACACAAUGCUUCUUCUUCAUGAAAUAACCAAAAAUGAUAUUGUCACAAAACUUUUUCUACUGUUCCUUGUUUAAUAUGGAGUGUAUGGUUCCAUCAAUAUCAUUAUAACUGUACGAGCAUAUAUGUGGUGCAAAUCUUGAAAGUUUUCUGACAAUGAAUAUUUCGUCACGCAUCACCUAUACAAAGUAAAACUACAACUUCUUAAACUUUAAAAAAAAAUAUUCAAAUAAGCAAAAAAAUACAUAUAACAUGCAUAUAUAUUUUGAUCAGACCAAAAAUACAACUAAUACUGAAAAAUACAUAUCAAGUAUACUAAAAAUACAUAUAGCCAAAAGGCUCUUCAUGAGUAGUUAAUAUAACAAGAUAUUUUCAUAAUUAUACUAUCAGCUUUGUAUUAAAUUUUGCGCUCCUAAUAUCAUCAUAACAUAAAAUACAUAUUAACUACUUGAAAAAAAAUACAUAUAACUCCCAACUUUGAUACUAACAUCUUUACUUAGAGCAAAACAAAAAUUAACAGUCAAUAAUAGAAAAUACAUUUACAACAAAAAAAUACCUCUUCCUCAAUAUCUUCUUCAGAAUCAUCAGCAAAGGAGCUCUGAACAUCGUCAUCAUCCUUACUUAAUUCUUCAAUUUCUUUAGCUUUUCUUUUCUUCACGUAUUUUUAAAUUUUUUGUUCCUUUGGAGAAAGAGUUUUCUUCAACUUUUUUUCUUCUUUCAAAAUUCCAGUCAUCUUCACCGUGUUGUUACGAAACUUCAACCUAAUCUCCUUCUAUCUCUCAGAUUUCUUCAACCGUAUAGGAUUUGAAACAACUUUAACUACAUCUUCUUGAGUUAACCCAAGACUAAAAGAUGGUCCAUAAUCAGACACCAAAUUAAUAUUCCGUAUACCACUAUUUGUUUGUGAUUUUGAUGUUUGUUCAGCCAUUAAAGCAUAAAAACCUUAAAAUCUGAUUUUGAGAUGUAUUGUAGUUAGAAAAAAAAAAAGAGAAACCGCUAACAUGCAAUAGCUGAAUUAAAGAGUUACCUGAAAUAGAGGAAGAUAAUCCUUAUCAGAUGGUGCUAAAAUCGUGCAAAAGGAAAAAAAAUUAAAGCGGGAAGUGAUUGUUAAUGGCGAAAAAAAAGGAAAAAAUAUUUUAAAUUAAGGAAAGAGAAGAAUAGUGGCGUGAAAAGGGGGAAAUAUGCAAAGUAACUUCUCUUAGGCGGCAAAAGUAGGGGACUACAUUAAAAUAAUGUUAUAGAUGCUACACAGUGUAAUUUGAUAUAAGUGUUGCUAUUUAUUGUAAUUUAAUACUUAAGUAUGCUACUCUAUGUAAUUUUUCCUAUUUAGUAUCCACAAUAUCAUGUCGAGCCUUAAUUCCAAAAUUGUGAUAUCAAAAAUUUUGAUUUCGCUGUGAUAUUUAGUAUACACAAUAUCACGCUAAAUCCUAAUUCUAAAAUCAUUAUAUCAAAAAUGCAAUUUCCAAAAUUGCAAUAUCAAAAAUUUCAAUUUUGAUUUCAAUAUAAGACCCCAUUUGGCCAUAAAAAUAAUAAUUUUUUGGAGUUCGAGUUAAAGUUGAAGUUGAUUUUGUGUUUGACCAUGAAUAUUAGUUGGAGUUAUUUUUAAAUUUUUAUGAGAGAAAUAGGUGUGAGAAAAGUGAAAACAAGUAAAUUUUGUUUUUAUUUUUUCAAAAAUCUUUUUCACUAAAUAAAAUAAUUUUCCAAACACCACUAAAAAUAUUUUUUCUAAAAAAAAAAUAUUCAUGAUAAAAUGUCUACUAAGUGGGUGUUUGUUUGAAUUGACUUAUUUUUAGUGUUUUUAUCUUUUAAACAUUUUUUUAGUUUUGAUAAUGUUUGACAAAGUAAAAAAAUAUUUUUAAACACUUAUUUUUAAGUUAAAAAAUAUCAAAAUAAGUCAAAAGUCAAAACCCAAAGGUAUGAUAUUACAGCUUAUGAUUUUUAGGUUAUAAAGUCCUUGUUAAAAGCAAUCCAAAGCACCCUUCAAGUACUACAAUAUUCAAUAUCUACCGUACCAUACCACCGCUAAUUCCAACCGUCCAUCCUUUCAUCAUCUCAAAAGUUUCCCUCCUUUAUUUCCCGCCAAAUCCAAAAAGAACCAUCAAAUUCUUCAAUUUUACCUUUUCCCCUUCUAAAAAAAAAAGCCUUCAAAAAUCCCAAACACAAAGCACAAAAAUCGAGAAAAAUGGAGAAAUCCGGCAGCUUCGGCGGUAGUUCAGCGCCUACUGGGUGUUACAAAUGCGGUCGUCCAGGUCAUUGGUCAAGAGAUUGUCCGUCAAAUCCAAACAGUACGGACAAAUCUAAUCUGAAUACUACGAAGUAUGGUUCGAAAACCGGAUCGGAUGAAGGAUCGGGUGCGGGUGCGGGAGAUGGAGGUGAUGGUGGAGUUGGAGCUUCGAAGCCGAAGAAAAUACCGAGGACAAUGCCGAAGUUAACUCCGGAUAUACUUUUAUCUGAUAAAGGACUUGGUUAUGUUCUUAGGCAUUUUCCUCGUGCUUUUAAGUAUCGCUGCCAUGGUCAUGAGGUACUUUUGUGAUUUCAUAUAAGGUUUUUGCAGUUUGUUUGCUGUAUCUAUUUUUACUCUUCCUCUGAUUUUUUUUUUUUUUGUAUUUAUUUUGAAUUCGCGUAAUUAGGGAUAUACUAUUAAAAGGGACAAACUAGUUACUCAAUUAGGUUAGAGUCCUUAAGUCUUAAAAAAUGGGUAAAAGGUACAAUUUUUUUUUUUUUUUGAACAUUUUUGCUCCAAUAACUAAAAAAAUUGUCUCAACAACUAUCAAAGUUGUUCGACAACUUUUCAAAGUUAUUCGACAACUAUGAAAGUUGUUCCACAACUAUCACAAUUGUUCGACAACUAUCAAAUUUGUUCGACAACUUUGAUAGUUGUUGAGACAACUAAUGCACUUGUCGAACAACUGUCCUAGUUGUUUAAGUGACUUUAUUUUUUUUAACUUAAUAAUAUUGUGGGACCCACUUGCCCCUUUUUUCUAAUUAAAGACUUGAGAGUGUCUAUGAGCUCAUUUUUCUCGCGUAAUUAAAUUGACAGUAGAGAUAAUACGUUUAAGUUUUUAUGUUUAUUAUUCAUUAAUGAGGUGGAUGUGUGGACAUACUCGUAGGGCUUGUUUGGUAUGAGGGAUGAGGGAUAACUAAUUCCGGGAUUAAUUUUAGGGAUGCAUGGACAUACUCGUAGGGCUUGUUUAUCUCAUGUUUGGUUGGGAUAAAAUCGCAGGAUGCUUUAUCCCAUGAUUAGUUAUUUGGGGAUUUUAGUGUUAUUUUUAUCCCACAUUGAGGGUGGAACAAAAUUCUCGGGAUAGCUUGUUCCGCAACCAAAUGAUCCUGUAGAGAUAAUAUUAGGAAUUAGUAUAUUUGGGACAAUGUGAGAGUGACUUGUAUGGUGUACACAAAGGAGGCAAGGUUGAGAUGGUUUGGGUAUGUAAAGAGGAGAUGCACAUAUGGUCCCAUACUCCCAUUGGUCUGGUGUGAGAGGUUGGAUUUGAUGGGAACUAGGAGAGGUAGCAGUAGGUCUAAUAGUAUUCGGCAGCUGUGAUUAGGCAAGACAUUUGGUGCUGCCUUAGUUUAAUUUUGACAUGAACUAACAUAGGAGGCUAUGGAGGUAGUGGUAGGUCGCAGAUUAGGAUAGAAGGUUAGCAGGUAGUUGAGCGUUGUCUCUCUUUAUUGUGGGAUUUGGCUUGGUGGUAGCCUGAAGCACCAUGUACGUUGUAGUAUUAGCCUUUUUCAUGAAGUUUCCUGUUGUUUUAUUCAUCUAUUACAAUAUAGUGUUGUUGUUACUGGUCCUUUUAUGCUUUGUAUUGUUUUCCAUAUUAGUUGUCAUGUUUUCUUUAUUGCAUUAUUUCCUUGUUCAUGGGUAUUCUGAUUUGAUGCACUUAAGCCUAGGGCCUUUGGAAACAGCCUCUCUACUUUCAUGGGGUAGGGGUCCUGCAUACACUCAAACCUCCCUAGACUCCACUUGUGGGAUUACACGAUUGUUGUUGUAUUCGUGAGAGAAUGAUUUGCACUUCACUAUAUAACUGAAGUUUCGAACAUAUCUUGAUUACUGACUACAAAUUGGUUUUCUGAAGAAUGUAUAAUUUCUGGUUGAUAAUGUUUCAUUUCAUAUGCUAAAUAGAUUCAUUUUACUUGUUGAACCAAAGGACAAUCUGUAGCAAACGUUAUUCUGAGGCAUUUUACCUAUUGCUUAUGUGACUUUCUUUAUAUUCUAAUUGAUUAGCGUCCAGAUUAAGCCUCGUUAGGAUAGAUCUCUAUACAUAUUACCUUCUCUGGACUCCACUUGUGGGUAUGUUGUUGUUACGUCCAGAAUAACCGAAACUCUUCAAUCACUUUUUUUAUUGGUAAAGUAAGUUUUAUUGAUGUAAAAAACAGGAGAAAGAGAAUGUUGUUACUGGUAACAUCCAGAAAAAAACCCACUUCAAUUACUUAAUAUGUCAAUAAUAUUAAUUCUAUUUGCCUCAAGACAUUUUAUGGCAGUAAGCAGACUUUGUUUUUCCCUGUUUAUUUUGUGUAAGUUGAAAAGAGAAGCAUCUUGUGCCUCUUCAAGAUUGGUAAUUUUGAUUCUUUGCAUGAAGAUGGUGACCGCUAGAAUGUUUAGUCCAUCAUUUUGGUUAAAUGAUAUGCCAGUCCUUUUUGUUGCAGCCUUGGUAGAAAAUGAACAAUUUUGGAAGUGUAUGUAUUUAGACAAGUGGUGCUUCAGCAUCUGAGUGAUUUGCUUAUAAUUCAAUCUUAACUGGGUGCAGGUUGCUGAUUUGGGUCACCUACUUGGCUUAUAUGCUGAAUGGCAUGCGAGUUUACUUCCUUAUUACUCAUUUGAUCAGUUCAUACAUAAGGUGGAAAAACUUGGCGGCUCAAAGAGAGUCAAGGUAACUAGUUUCAAUCCGCCAGCUUUGCUGUUCCAAUUGUGUUAGACACACUUGUCAUGAAAUGUGUGCUAUCUUUCGAUUUAAAAAUUAUUAUUCUUUUGGCUUUCAUUAGACCUAACUUCCAGCAAGGUAAAAUGGAAUAUAUGGAGAUGAAGGCUCUUGGAAAAUGGAGACCCUUUAAACAUGUCUAAAUAAAUACUCAGUCUUGGAAAUAGAAUACUCGACAUUGCUCUUUAACCGAAAGUCAAUGAGAUGCUAGAUCUAUUUUGCUAUACUCAUGAUGUUUUGAGAAGUAGAAUGUAUCUGCAUAUAGUAAAUUUGAAUAUCUGUGGUCAAAAAGUCGUCCAAACUUUUCAUAUUCUCUUGAUUGUGUUAGUUUGAUAUUUGUGAAUAGAUAGCUCAUUAAUUAAUCAUCUGCAUCUUCCCUGUAAAUUUUGAGCCAUUAGGCCAUCAGGUAAGACUAAAUCUUUCCUGCUUGGCAACUCUCUCUAUAUGUUUAAUGUUUAAUUAAUGGUGGUAAGUUUGUUAUCAUUGCACUUUAUAGCGUCUCCUUUGUGCUAGUGUCUUUUCGCGCCAUUUACUAUCAGUUUUAGUGUCAAACCAUGACAAGAUGAUAUAUCAACUGUUAGAGUAUGAGUAGGAAUAGGAAUAACAUAUAGAUUCCUACUUGGAAAAGGAUUGUAAUGUAGUGUCCUAUUAAGAAAAGGAUUGGAAGGUAGUGUCUAUAAAUAGGACCUCAAUGUAAUAAUGUUGAUACAACAAUUCAAUAAUAUUUUUCUCUUAUAUUUUUUACAUGGUAUUAGAGCUUCCACGAUCUUGGUAAAAAAAAUCAAAGAGUUUUCGCUGUCGGUGGGCGGUUAUAAUUCAUAUAUAUUACCAAAAGUUGGGACACUGACUGUCCGGUGACUACUUUUUCAUAUCUAUCUUUCGUAGCACCGUGCUUUUUUUCGGUGACUAUUUUCUCAUAUCUGAUUUGCGUAGUACCGUGCAUCUUUCCAGACUACUUUCUCAUAUUUGAGUUGCAUAGCACCGUGCAUCUUUCUGGUGACUCUUCAGAUUUAAUUUACGUAGUUCCGUACGUUUUUUCGGUGACUCCUCAGAUCUAAUUUAUGUAUGGUCGUGCCAUCAUUCCGAUCCUACCCAUAUAAUUUCUCUUUUUCAAUAGUGUCGUUCUAUCAUUCCAACCCUAUCACAUAAUUUUUCUUUUUCAGUAGGGUCGUGCCCUCAUUCCGACCCUACCCAUAUAAUUUCUCUUUUUCAGUAGAAUCGUGCCGUCAUUUCGACCCUACCCAUAUUUUCUAUUUUCCAAUAGGGUCGUGCCACCAAUUCGACCCUACCCAUAUAAUUUCUCUUUCUUGUAAGGUUGUGCUAUCAUUCCAACCCUACCCAUAUAAUUUUUUCCUAGAUUGUGAUCACUUUUCAGCCAUCAAAUCUAAUAAUCCAGCGCGUAGGCAUGUUUCGACCAUUUUUUCAGUGACUUUCUUGUUCAAGAUCUACUCAUCUCUUGAUUUCGAGAUGACCCAUAUAUUUUAUACCAGUUUCCGGCAAUUUUCCAGCGACAGAUCGACUUCCCGACGAUGUUUACUAUUUCAGAUUACUUUUUCAGAUUUUUCUUUUUAAUUGAGGUCUCCCAGAAAGUUUUCUUGCAAAUAUCUUCAUCAAGUCCCUCACCGAUCCUCGUAUUAAUUACAUCCAUAACAAGCUUGGUACAUAUGCCUUCUAUUUACCAGCUUGAGGGGGAGUAUUAGAAUAUGAGUAGAAAUAGGAAUAACAUAUAAAUUCCUACUUGGAAAAAGAUUGUAAUGUAGUGUCCUAUUAAGAAAAGGAUUGAAAUGGAGUGUCUAUAAAUAGGGGCCUCAAUGUAAUAAUGUUGAUACAACAAUUCAAUAAUAUUUUUCUCUUAUAUUUCUUCACAUCAACAACAUUUUUGAAGCAAUAAUUGGAUAAUGUGCAAUGUCAUUCUUCAGUCCCUGAAAAAUCACUUCAUAUCACUUAUGUUAUCCAUUGCAAGGCCUCCUUGAGACACAGACAUCCAUUUUGGGGGUACAUCCUGCUUAGCCAAUUCAUUUAGCUGCAUCCAAUAUUAUAACCUUUUAGACACUAUGAAAGGUUAGACAAGAGGGGUUUGCUCAGGUAGUAAGCACCUUCUGCCUCCAAUCUUAAGGAUGUGGUUCCGAGUCAGUAGUCACCAAGGGAGCCAAAAGGUGGGACCUCCUAGGAGGGGUAAAAACUUUUGGAAGAUGAAAGCAGAAUAAAUAUGGGCCACAACUUCACGUAUGUUUAGGAGUAUUAUGUGCAAGAUCAUUGUGCAAAAUCAUCCUUUAUGAUUUCUUCGCAAAUUUGAUCGUCAUAAGAAUUGAACCAAGCAAUUUCAACUGUUGCCAAAUAGCAUUCUGUUGUGAAAGCCUGUUACAUGAACUUAAUAUUUUAUUUUUUUGAAAUUGGUAACUUUGACGUGAGCUUAAUAUUCAAAAAACAAGAUUUAUAGCUGACUUUUAACCAGAUAUGUCUCACUCUAUUUGUUGCAACAGGUCAUGUACCCCAAUAGAUGAUGAUUGAAAGAUAGUUUGUUGUGUGACCUUAUAGUUUGUUGUGUGACCUUCACUAAACACAUGAAACAAAUAUGUGGUAAAGAUUUUGUGUUUUCCUUGUCAAGCUUACCAGGAUUCUUUUCCUUUGAACAGGUAUGCAUGAAAGGACUACGAGAUAAGGUUGCCGAUGGGGUGGAUCCUUCAAAGCUGUAUGAGCCACAAGUACACGAACAACAAAUAAAUCGACAGGGUACAUCUCUAUCAGUUUCUAGGCAUUAAGUAUUCUUGUUUUCUUAUCUCAAUUUACUUCGAGGUUGUGAAAGUAGCAAUAUAUGACUACUAACAACUAACGAAUUACUUAUAAAAUGUUGAACUUCCAUUGAAAUUUUUUAUAUCACUCACUUUGUUUUGUCUCAUGAAGCAUAUAUAAAGUCCGGAGGUACUAUGAUUGCAGUACUUUAGUUUAGAUACUAAACUUUAAUAUUUGAAAUAUCUGGUAGAGUAUUAGAAUAUUGGUUUGAGGAGUAUUUCAAGUGAAAUAAUGGUUUGUAUUCACCAACUUUUAACUCUUACUAACAUCUUUCUGAAUGAAGUUAUGUCCAAACAUAACCUCAACUCCAAAGUACUGUUUUCCAACUUCAACUUCCGAAUACUCUUUUUCAACUUCAUCCAAAAUUCUAAAUAUUGUCCAAAUGGCUACCUACUUGAAUCAGGAAAAAGGAAAUGUAGCUGUUGGGUAAGUUUAAGAGAUAUUCAAAUUAACAUAUAUCAAAUGCGAAUGCUAAUUCUUUCAUUUGCAGAGUACUUCAUUUAACUUCAGUUCUCUUAUGCUGAAAGUUCUAUGUAUUAAUCCUCAACUAUUAGACAACAUAAUGCCUCUUCUCUAUUGUUUUCUUGGGGAAAAAGGCCUAUUAAAAAUCUUAUGGGCUUGUAUUUUAUUCUUCAAUUGUCUUUCACAUUGUCUGUCAAUUCUCUUAAUUAUGUAAGAUUUCAUACCAUUUGAGAUUGAAACAUUUAAGCUAAAUUAGGAGCUGUCUUGUUAUAUAUCACUAGCAAAUUGUCAUUAAGGGUAUACGGUAGUUCCUAUUUGUAUAGAGGAUUUGGUGUCUUUUGGAGAGAACCAUAUUCUGUAGGUUUCUCCUUUUUGGGUAUAUCUCUUACUUACGACUAUCUCAGCCUUGUUAUUAUUAAUGAAAUACUUUACUUGAUCAAAAAAAGAGGCCAGCUUGGCUUUCUAGUUUUUAAAAUUCAACGUCUAAUGUAGCUCCUCCCUUCUCUUUAAACAUUGAAGAACUAUGAUGAACGAGUAACUUUAUUGAUCAUGCAGAGUUGGAGAAGAUACGUACUUCUGUUUUCAAAACUAAAUAUGACUUUUCUACAGAAUGUGAUAUGCCUAUGUAUGCUGGUCAUUUGCAAUCAUUAUGGUCAGUUUCAAGUGCACUUUUUGUUGAUUCUGUGAAUAGCAAAGGACAAUUCGUGAUAUGUGCCAUCCAUAAAUAAAUUUUCUUUUCUGCUUCUGGAUGAUUGGAUUUGAAAUCAGAAAUUGCAUCUCUGCUGUAUAUUGUAUGCAGAAUUCAAGGACUCAGAACCAACUGAUUAUCCAGAAGAUGUGACGCAAAAUCCAAAUCCUAAAGAUUUUCAGGCAAUCAUGCUUAAUGAUUUGUGGGAGAAGGCAAUUGGGGUAAGAAAAGUAAUGAAAUUUCCAACAGAUUUCUGUGUAUUGAUUUGUCUUAUUUCCCAAAAUAACUAUAAGUGUUUACUUUGUCUGGCAUGUAGUAUCACCCCUAGUCUAGUAAAUUAACCCUAUUACGUGUAUAUUUAUUUUCCUUGUUCCUGUGUUGUGAAAUUCUAUUCAGUUGGCAACAACGUACACUUCCACAAUACUACACCUGGAAUUUGAGUUGGGUAUGUUGAGACCAAAAUUAACCCAGCCCUUGAAACAAUUUGCCCACCCUAGUUAGCUUCUCCGUGUGCCAUCAGAGGAAUUAUCAUAUAGACUGUUAAUGGUAGUGCAACAGAAUUAGGGGAUUAAAUAAAUUCAUUCUAGUGAUUUCUUAUGUAUGCCAACCUCGAACUAUCAGAAUACCAGAGAGUAGAUAAUGGUUAGCUUAAGGAAAAUAUCAAGCUUGAACUGCAGAAACCAGGAAAUCACUUGCUCUUCUAGGUGUAUCCAUGGGAGUGCUUUUAGAACUUGAAGUUCUUUACUUUUUGAAGCUUGACGAGAUUUGCUAGGGAAAAGAGAUAGUGUAUGCUAGUGGGCUUACACAGCUUUUGGGACAUAAUUCUUACAGCAGUUCGUUAGAAAUGUUUAAUAUAACAUUUCUUGAAAACAGCUUUCGUAUAGAUGCUCGCUAUUUUAGAAACAUGUUUGAAAAACUUAUUGUGUUUGAUUGAUUAUUUAAGAGCAGAAAAGCUAAAACACAACCUAUCAGUUUUUAAAACUUCCAAUCAUACCAUCAUAUGAAGAAAACUCACCUGAUCAAUGAUUAUUUGUUAACCAAGGAUUCCAUAGUUAAUCCGUCCAUUGACUAUUAUCCUCGCAGAAUUUUUGGUCGUUGGCCACACUGGUAAAAUUUGACACAAACUUCAGUCACACCUGAUUAUUACUCGCUAGCAUACUUUACUACUGCAGCUCAUAAUUUGUUACAUAUUUGACAGGAACCAUCUGAACCAUUCCAUCAAAAAAUUGUUGCUGCCGAUACAUCUUCUGCAGUGAAAGAUACAGUAAAUCAGGCUCCAGAUAAUGUAUCAAAAAGUUCUGGGGUUAUCCAGAUCUCGGAAGAACAAAGAGCUCGGAUGGAGGCUAAUAAGUUGAAGGCAUUACAGAGAGCUGCUGCUCGAAAAUCUACAUAGCUUACAUAGAGCUCCAUAGAAGUUUCUAAGUUACUGUAUCCUAUUGUAAAUUGCUCAUGAGUUCUUUUUUUUAAAGUUAUGUGCUUAAAAGUACUUUGUGGGUGAUGUUAGUUCAUAGUAUUACGUGUGAUUGUCUUGUUUCUUUUAUUAUCUAGUGGUGUUUACUCCAUUUUAUUAUUUGUUUUUAUGUUUUCUGGUUAUAUAGUUAUUUGUUUUGAGCUGGGGUCUAUCGGAAACAACUUCUCUACUUCAUUAUCUGAGGUAGUGGUAUGAAUUGUGUACACUUUACCUUCCCCAAGCCACACUUUGUGGAAAUACAUUGGGUAUGUUAUUGUUGUUGUAUGUGCUUAAAAGUACUUUAUCUUGAAUGUCAAUUGUCAAGACUCGCGAGAUUGGUCUAAAUCAUUAUUUUUAGGGAUGAAAAUAGUAGGGAUGUGGGGUGAGUUUAAGUAAGUUUUUUUUUAAAUAAUGUGGGGGCAAAAAAGCUAAAAAUUAGUAUUAUUCUCAUGAGUCUACUUAAAAUUAUAUGUAUUCUUCGCUUAAAAUUUUAUAAUACUUAAAACGAUAUGCAUAACAUUAUAAAUAAAUAAUUUUAUAACUUUUUAAAUUUCUUUAUUUAUCUUAAUGAAAAUUUGAUAUUUGAUCAUUACUUGUACACGAGGUAUUUUCUAACAAUUUCUUAGUGAAAAGUGAUAUAAUAGUGGAGUUGCAAAUUUUUCAAAAAAUAAAAAUGUGGGGCGGUGCGGGUAUGUGUGAGUAUGAGUAUGGGCGGAUUUAAAGGUGAUGCGGAGCGGGGCAGUUUUAAAAUUCGUGGGUUUAAAAAAAGGAAAAAUUACCUAAAAGAACGACUUAAGUUUCUAAACCACUAAAAAUUCCUUCAUUUUAAAAAUAUUUCAUAUAUCUCAACAUUUACUACUUUUACCCUUUGUAGUUAAAAGUUGAAAUACAUGUUAAAAUAUUCCUUUUACAAUUACAAUUUUACCAAAUUAAGCAAAGGUUUCCUCUUCUUUCAACGCCUUCUUUUCUGUUGUAGUUUCAAUCCAUUUUUUUGUUCUAAUUCAAACUUUUAAAUUAAGGUAAAAUUUUCCCCUAAAAUCAUAUUCAAUAUCUUUUUAUUAUUAUCAGAGUUAUUUUACCUAGUCCCUGUUCCCUCUCCCAUUCCCCAUUCCCCAGCGCCGCAAAAAUGACUACCCGUUUCAAGAAAAAUAGAAAGAAGCGCGGCCACGUCAGCGUUGUUCACAGUCGUAUAGGUAAGCACAGGAAGCAUCCCGAUGGUCAUGGUAACGUUGGAGGUAUGCCCUACUGUCAACAUCGACAAGCUUUGGUAACUUGUGUCCACAAGAUGUGAAGGAUAAGGUUGCUGUAAGCAAAGGUAGUGCUCCGUUGAUUGAUGUGACUCAGGACGGGUACUUUAAGGUGUUGUGCAUCAUUAUCUCAAAACAAAAAUUCAAGAUUUAUGGACCUUCAUAGCAAUUUCUUGUAUCUCUUGUUCUCUGUUUUUGUUGUUAUAUGUAUCUUUUGUUUUUUACGUUUUAGUGAAAUAGGCAUAUCAAACAUAAAUGUUAGUAAGUUUAAAUAUAUAUAUAUAUAUAUAUAUUGUGUACGAGGUUGUUUUGUAUGUAUCUCACACUAUUUUUUGUUUUGAUUUAAUUAUUUAUACCAAAGAUACAUAUUAUGUAAAUCAACAGAUACAUUCUAAGCUUUUUGAAUAUCUGAUUUUGUUAUUGUGAAUUUAUGUAUCUCUUGUUAUUUCAGAUUUGGGUAAUUUCAGGAUUAGAUAUACAUAUUUACACAUACAUGAUAUUUUUUUCAAUAUCUUGUAUCUAUUGUUAUCUGUUUAAGUUUUAUAUGUAUCUCUUGUUUUUAAGUUUUAGUGAAAUCAGCAUACUAAAGAUACAUGUUAGUAGGCUUAAAGAUACAUAUAGUGUAUGAGGGGUAUGUAAUAUGUAUCUCGCAUUAUUUUAUUUUUUUUUAUUCAGUUAUUUAUAUCAAAGAUACAUAUUCUGUAAAUAAACAGAUAUAAUUUAAAUAUUUUGUAUCUCUAGUAUUGUGUUAUUGUAGAUGUAUGUAUCUUGUUAUUGCCUAUAUAUAUUUUCUUUAUGUUCAUACUUCUCUAUAUUUUUCUUUGCAGGUUUGCCCCAUAUGUAAUGAUGAGGUCUCAUGUCACCAAGGAUCUAUAGCUUUAUGACACUUUGUAUUAAACCAAAUUAUUGUAUUGAAAUCGGUCAAAGAUUUAUUGAAUAUGUCGAGGAAAAUACACAAGUUUUUCAUUAACAUAUUCUACUAACAUAAAUUCUAUUUGAAUUAGGGGUAUGAGCUUCAUGCAUGUUUAUUGAGUAUCAAAAUAUAUGAAUUUCCACUAUGUUCAUAAAAUAAACUAGUUUCAUUCCUAAGCUGAUCAAAGACGGAUCCAGGAUUUUGAAUGCACGUUGAUAAGGACAGGCUCCUGCUUUGACUAACUUAUGCAACUUGUCAAGUAUCACGCUGUAAAAGUUUUAUACUCAAAGGGUAAAACAAAAAUAAUGUUAACAAAGUGCAAAGCAGGAAAACUCAAGAUUCAUUAGAAAUUAAAAUUCUUUAGUAGUAAAGUUUAUAGAAUAGAAUUUUUUUUUUUACAGAUUCUGAUAACUUAUUAUCCUUAGUAAGUCUUUUCAAGUUAUAGCACAGAACAAUGCUUCUUUGAAUUUAAAAGAAGAUUGGGGAAUAUACAAUAUGAUGGACUUGAAAAAAUUAAAAAGAAGAGCAAAGAAACUUUCUGCCAAAGAAAAUAGUAUUGUACUCGAAAAUAGUGUUCGAGCUAAUUUGCACGCACCAUGAAUAUUCCAUGGGAUAUUUGCAAUUUACCAACAACACAGAUACCGGAUAAAUCUAUCCAUCAAAGCUUGAAUGGAUCAAUGUAGAAAUCAUCUAGUGUUUUGACAUCUUAUAAUUCUAAGUGAGCUUUUUCAUGCAAUAGAACAGAACAAUACUUCCUUGAAUUUCAAGGAGGAUUUGGGGCAUAUACAAUAGGAUGGAUUUGUAAAAUCUAAAAAAAAAAAGAAUAAGAUAAACUCUCUAUAAACAGAAAAUAAUAUAGUAUAAGUAAAAGGCAAAAACAACUUUUUUCUUCUCCUUUCAGUUGAAUCAUGUUCAAUUUAUGUUGCUUGGGCUCUUUAAAUAUCCAUAUACAAUCCUCCGAGCAACAUUUUAGGACAUAGCUGCAAUCAUACAAAAAAAAAACUUCAUAAUUUGUUACAAAAAUAAGAUGUAUUUUAAUGUACUGAAAAAAAUAAUGAGAGAUACAUACACUGCACCAUCGUGCACAAAAAAAAUAAGAGAUACAUACACUGCAUUAUUAAUGCGACCCAAACUAGGGCCUAGUCGUAAUGGACAUCCCAAGUCCAACCAAGACCGGGGACCACCCCCUUCUAACCAACCCAAUCAUCUUAUUCACCCCUUGAUGGACGGAAUUUCGAGCAUAUAACAAGAUAGCGUGUUAGCUCACAUCAAGACUCUGGGAUAGGAUCACGACCGUGACCAACCCAAUCGAGUCCAGCCGUCCAGCCAUACCAACCAUCCACUUAUACCAAACCAAAGGCCAUAAACCAGGCAAUAACCAAGGAAAUUCCAAGAUAUAAUAUUAUCAAUCCCCCAAAUAUAAUACGAUGGAACAGUGAUAAAUUAUGUCCAAUGAUGUCAGAGCCAAUACCAAUACUAAGGCUGACACCCAUACCAACUGUAAUACCCCGAACUUUCUUUAAGUCUAAUAUCGUCUCUAGAAGGUUAAGAAAUGACUUCCUAAGUGAUUAAUGUUUUCAAAUCGUAAAGAAUUUUCCUAAUUUUUACUUUUUAUCAUGUGGAAAAUUGAAUCAGCUUUUCAAUGAUAUAAGAUUUGCCUAAAUCUGAUAACCGGGUAAGAAGUUAUGGCUAAUUUAAGUUCUAGUCGUAAAACACCAUUAUUUUGGUGUUUAGCGCAUCUCGAAGAGGGUUUAAUUAUCAUUUGUCAAAUUUAAGUGGGGCUUCGCGAUGGUGGCGCAUCGCGGAGGACCCCAAUUUCUCAAUAGUCAAUUUCCAAUAGCCUAGCGCGAUCAUGUCACGUCGCACUGAAGUUCCAGGUCCCAAUCAGUGGGACAACAUGAUGGCUCCACGUCGCAGUGAAUCCCAGAUUCCCAAUUGUCAAUUUCCAGUGAGCCACCACGAUAGUGGCGCGUCGCGGUGGCCCAUGAAAUCGGGCUCCCAGUUAUAUUUUUCCAGUUAUGUUAAGGUUUAAAAGGGGGGUAUUUUGGGCAAUUACCCUACCCCCAAUUUGUCCAAAAACAUAAAAUCAAUGGUAUUACAAAGCUCUUUAUGCCCUAAAUCCUCAUUCUCUUCAAAACAAAACCCUAAGCAUCCAAAUUCUCUUCCAAGAAUCUCAAGAGUUCACCAUAGAUUUUAUAAAUUGAGUCAACAUUCAAGAUUCCUAAGUCAAAAGCUUCAAGAACCCUCACUUAAGAGUACCAAAAGGAGUCUCAAGAAAGUUGUUCAUCCAAGUUUAUCAAUCUAAGAUAUGUGGGGUUUGAAUAAGAACACUCCUUUCGUUCUUGUACCCAAAAUUUGCACUAAUUUACAAAGAUACAUGAUUUUACAUGUUUCCUUAUGAAUUUGAAGUAUGAAUUUAUACCCUAUGUGGUUGUUCUUGAGAUUAUGAGAUUUUGAAUGCUUUAGUAGUUGAAUUUUAUGAGUAUAUUUUUAUGAGUAUUGCUGAAAUUUCCAGAUUUCCAAAUAAUUUAUGCAUGUUUAUGAUAUAAAGUAUGAAUUUUAGAUGUUUGAUCAUGAUAUUGACAUAUGGGUCAUCAAGCCCUAUUUUAGAAUGUGAUUUUGAGAAUUGUUGUGCUACAUGCACCUUAUGAUUAGACUAUUUUGAAAUAAUUUAGAAAGAUUUGACCCUUUGGUCACAAUAGAGUUGAAAUCCACUUUACGAAAUGAGAUUACAGACUUCAUAAUUGAUUUCCUUAUGAGACAUGAGAUUACUUUAAAGUGGAUUUUCUUGAGACUUUGAGCAUAGAUUGGGAGUAGUAUUUAGCACCGAGUUGGGCAUGUUAAUACAGUUUCAUACCCUAAAACUACGUGCCACCGUAGGUUGAGAUACUUAUUUCCACUAUACGUGGGUAACUGAGAUAGUGAUCACUAAGAUAGAUUAUUCUAUUCUGAUGGCAAGAGUAGAAUAGCCCUAACCUUACGGGGGCUAGUCGUGGGACACUAUGGAUGCUCACAUGGUGUACAUGUCGGUUAGAAGAACCUCCCAAAUAGAAGUUCCCCACUUUUGAAGCAGUUCUUUGAGAUAAAAUAUUUACUAUGCAGAAUAAAGUUUCAAACUUUAUCUAGAUUACAUGAUUCGAGAACAAGAACUAACUACAGUCUUUAGAGCUAAGUGUAAUGACUUAUGGAAUCCAGAUUAUAUGUUUUACUAUUCGUUACUUUGUAUCUUCAGAUUUCAAAUUCUUCAAGCUAUGUGAGCCACUUACAUUUAACAUUACAUGAUUUUAUAACCUGUGAAAUAUUAUUUUAUAUAUUGUAUGUACCCCCAUAUAGUCAGUACAUACUCAAAGUACUUAUCCACAUAUACGUCUGUGUGCUUCAUUGUCUCAUAAUGUAGGUUCAUGUGCUCGGUCCCAACAACAUUAGUGAUCCCGAGUACCUUGUCUACAUUUCCACAGUGGUGAGUCCUCAUGGUACGAGGACCUAUUUUCAAGACAUUCAGUAUUAUUAGCAGUUGGUUUUGUUGAUUUCAGUUUGAGUCAGUUGGGGAUCUGUCCCAAUGGCUCUCUAGUUUUCUUGACUAGUAGAGGCUUUGUCAGACUAGAUUAUCAGUAUGUCUAGACUUCCAGUAUUUUGACUGUAGAGAUAAGUAUUUCCUUGUAUUCCAUUAUGAUCAUGAUAUGACCGUACCAUUGUUUUACUUUAUUUAUCUCUAAGUAAGUUUUAUAUGUAGUAGAAAGCUCAAAAGGUUAGCUUGAGGUUACUUGUAGCCUUAAGCACCGUGUGACUCUCUGGGAUGGAAUUUUGGGGCGUUACACCUACCCAUAAAAGUACCAUAAAAUUUGGUUGGGACAUGCCCCCAACCAUGGCCAAAACUAAUCUCCAAAAUAAAAUCAAAGUGUCUAGAAAUAUCCAUAACAUGAAAUGGAGCCUUCCGAAAGGAUAGAAGCUCACCACUUCAGUCCAAAUGCUGAUCUCCGAGUCAAAUCACUAUGUAGGAGGAGUAGAAUGGUCGGUCCCUGCAUAGCGUGGGUAUACAACCGCCAGUCGACGGGUUAGCGAGUGAUCGCUAGCAUGAACUCAGGAUAAGGAUAAAAUAAUGUCAUUUAUAAAACCAAGUAAAUCAUCCAUAAUGCAUACAACCAUACAUAUAUAUAUAUAUAACCGUGCCAUAAAAGGGAAUUCUUGAUUAACAUGUACUUAAAACCUUUACCUGGGCUAUGUAGAUUUGCCAUCCUAAAUCACCCACGGGGUAUAUGGAUUCAGCUCCCCUAGCUGAAAGAUCCCCAGUGUGUGAAGCCGCAAGAUCGGAGAAAAUAACCUAGGAUGACUAGUACAUCCCCCAAAAUAUAGUGUGACAUCAUGCACACGGUCACCAAGACCAAACCUCACAUCGUCAAAUAUGAGUUUCCAGUUUUGGUCCCCCCGAGACCUCCACCUUCCACGACAUUGCUACACCUUCACCUUUAACGUUCAAUUAAAACAAUUUCCAACCAACCAAAUCAUUAUCCGUUUAUUAACCAAGGCCAUUAGUGGUGGUAUCAUCAUACCAACCAUAACUUGCAAGUAUUUUUUGUAGCCAACCAUUUAUAGAUUAAGGGGACUUUCAAGUGUCCUUCCAUUUACCAUAUCAAACCACUUGGGUAUUAACAUGUACCCCACAAUCAUUACCAUUUAGACUUAUACCUUUUCAAAGCAUUUAAGACAUUUUAGUUCCAUUACCAAAUUUAAACAAGCAAGAUGUAAUACCCCGAGACUCUAACCAAUAGUGCAACCAUGACUCAAGCUCAUGAGAAGUAAAUUAUAGUGAUUUGGUUGUUUUAUGAUCAAGGGUGAUGUGUAUUAAGGCCUCAAAGAUCUCCUAGCGAUUAGGUGAAUCAAAACAUUCCUUAUAGAUUGAUUCUUGGGAAGGAUAUUGCUAUAUUCAACUUUAAAUGAUCAUAUCUCUCAUUAUACUAAGAAUUAUUAAGCUCAUGACCUACCAAAAGAUAGAUAAUUGAAUUAUCUUUCCAACAAUACCAAUUUCACCCAAAUCUGGUAUCGGGACCAAGAGUUAUGCCCAUUUCACUCCAUCAUGUCAGGCUGAAAAACUGAGUGACGACAUUUUGUGAUAAGCUGUCACAAGUGUGACGACUUAUCACCAAUGUCAUCAGCCUUAGGAAGAUUUCCACCCCCAGUGAUGAUAUUUUUUGAUAAGUUGUCACAAGUGUGAUGACUUAUCACCAAUGUCGUCAACCUUAAGCAGAAAAUCAUAAAAUUCACCCUUUUGUGACAACAUUUUGUGACGACUUGUCACGAAUGUCGUCAGCUAUUUUUUUCAGCAAUUAAAGGACGUUUUUGAAGGGUAUUUUGAUUUUUUUUCCAUAUUUUGGAGGCCCCUAUAUAUAUGAGAAUUCCCAUAUAAACCCUAAUUUCUUCAUUCUCUCUUCCAAUUCUCUUAAGAAAUAUAUCUAGGGUUUUUAUUUAAGGACAUUAAUCUUNNNNNNNNNNNNNNNNNNNNNNNNNNNNNNNNNNNNNNNNNNNNNNNNNNNNNNNNNNNNNNNNNNNNNNNNNNNNNNNNNNNNNNNNNNNNNNNNNNNNNNNNNNNNNNNNNNNNNNNNNNNNNNNNNNNNNNNNNNNNNNNNNNNNNNNNNNNNNNNNNNNNNNNNNNNNNNNNNNNNNNNNNNNNNNNNNNNNNNNNNNNNNNNNNNNNNNNNNNNNNNNNNNNNNNNNNNNNNNNNNNNNNNNNNNNNNNNNNNNNNNNNNNNNNNNNNNNNNNNNNNNNNNNNNNNNNNNNNNNNNNNNNNNNNNNNNNNNNNNNNNNNNNNNNNNNNNNNNNNNNNNNNNNNNNNNNNNNNNNNNNNNNNNNNNNNNNNNNNNNNNNNNNNNNNNNNNNNNNNNNNNNNNNNNNNNNNNNNNNNNNNNNNNNNNNNNNNNNNNNNNNNNNNNNNNNNNNNNNNNNNNNNNNNNNNNNNNNNNNNNNNNNNNNNNNNNNNNNNNNNNNNNNNNNNNNNNNNNNNNNNNNNNNNNNNNNNNNNNNNNNNNNNNNNNNNNNNNNNNNNNNNNNNNNNNNNNNNNNNNNNNNNNNNNNNNNNNNNNNNNNNNNNNNNNNNNNNNNNNNNNNNNNNNNNNNNNNNNNNNNNNNNNNNNNNNNNNNNNNNNNNNNNNNNNNNNNNNNNNNNNNNNNNNNNNNNNNNNNNNNNNNNNNNNNNNNNNNNNNNNNNNNNNNNNNNNNNNNNNNNNNNNNNNNNNNNNNNNNNNNNNNNNNNNNNNNNNNNNNNNNNNNNNNNNNNNNNNNNNNNNNNNNNNNNNNNNNNNNNNNNNNNNNNNNNNNNNNNNNNNNNNNNNNNNNNNNNNNNNNNNNNNNNNNNNNNNNNNNNNNNNNNNNNNNNNNNNNNNNNNNNNNNNNNNNNNNNNNNNNNNNNNNNNNNNNNNNNNNNNNNNNNNNNNNNNNNNNNNNNNNNNNNNNNNNNNNNNNNNNNNNNNNNNNNNNNNNNNNNNNNNNNNNNNNNNNNNNNNNNNNNNNNNNNNNNNNNNNNNNNNNNNNNNNNNNNNNNNCGUUAGCGAUAUUCGAGUGCCUCAACUACGUUCCCUCAGUGGUGAGUCCUCAUGGUUCGAGGACCGUGUCUAUAUUUUUGGUGAUAUCAUUCUGUUGUUAAGGCUUUCAGUACUGUUUGAGUCAGUUGGGGGUUUGUCCCAAUGGCUACUUGAUUUUGAUGUAUAGAGGCUUUGUCAGACUAGAGGGUUGGUAUGUACAGACAUUCAAUAUAUUUUGGUUGUACAGUCUAGUAUUCUCCAGUAUUUCUCUUGAACUCGGUGCAGUAUAUCUCUUUGUUGUACAUGACUAUUGUUGAAUUGAAUUCCUUGAGGUAGUGUCUGGCUCCGAGGGUUAUCUUGGGGCUAUGUGUAGCCCUAAGCACCGUGUGGCGUCUCGGAAUGAAAUUUCGUGGCAUUACACAAGAGUUCCAUUAAAAUACAUUAAUGCAAUAAAAACAUUCUUGUGAGCAUUUUGUCAAACACAUUGGGGGCAUAAUGUAACCAAAACCAGUUCCAAUUACCAUUUAACCAUUUCCAUGCAAUCCAAGAAUUCAAAACCACCAUUGAUGCAUAUAAAGCAUAAUUAAAACCAUGAGAAACCAUGACCCGCUAUUUAUAAUCAAAAACCCCAAAUCAUAUUUGAAAACCAAAAGCAUACAAUAAUGAUAUCAUGAAAACCAAUAGUAAAAACCAUGUCUUUAGUUGGAACUAAUAAUGAGGGAAAAGAAUAUGCCUUAAUUGACAAAGUAGAUGGUGAGAAAUCACCAACAAGAUCCCCAAAUUGGUCCUCAAGAUGAAACCCUAGCUUCCCUUGCCCAAAAGCUCUUGAGAGGAUUAUAGAGUGUUUAGGAAUAGUUUCUAAGUGUUAAUGAAUAGAAUAAUAGGGUAAAUACUUUCCUAAUUAGGUUAGAACUCAUGGUGUCCUAUUAGGUUAAGUGGAAAAAUGUCCAGAAUACCCUCACUUAAGUUGUUUAAAAAUUUCAUCACAGGGAUACAACUGACCCACAUAAGUUAUACCCUUCGAUACGAUUGGUACCCGUCAAUCGUAUUCUAAGCCUUAGUCCUUGGACCCAACACUGUCCAACAUACAACUCAUUCAACUUAAGUCAUACCCACAACAUACGAUUAGUACCUUCAACCCGUACCCCUGACAAUAUAGAAAUAUCAAGAGAAUUGAAUAUUGUCUACCAUAUGAGUACAAGAUACGACUCGUAUACUGUCUUAUGGCUCAAGGUGAGCCACUCGUACUCAAAUUCAACUUAAGUUACUAACUCUAAAGAAAAACCCAACCCAUACGAUCCGUAUCCAACUAUACGACUUGUACCACCUAAGUCGUACCCAUUUCAGUGACCAAAUCCAUUCCACUAAUCAACAUCGAUCAGCCUAUGAUAGAUCCAUACCAUCCGUACCCCAACAUACGACUCAUACCCCUGAGUUGUAUUGGGUCCGGAGAACAAAAUUCCAAGAAAUUUUCUAAGGUCCAGAAAUCAGGAUGCUCCAAUAAUCUUUCGUAUGCUUAUAUCACUAAAACUAAAACAUCACAAGAUGCAUAUUUAUACACAGCCAGAUUACCAUAGAUACAAGAACAUGAAAAAUCUGUCAUGAGUGGAAAAAUAUGUAUCUCGACCAACUUAAUUCCUAGAAAAAAAUACUUCCUCCGUUUAAAAAAGAAUGACUUACUUUCCUUUUUAAUCCGUUUAAAAAAGAAUGGCCCCUUUUCCUUUUUGGCAAUACUUUAAUUACAACUUUCCACAUGGCAUGUUUAGGACCACAAGAUUAAAGGGCAUUUUGGUACAUUUGACACAAUUUUAAUUUAAGGCCACAAGAUUCAAAAGUCUUCUUUAUUUUCUUAAACUUUGUGUCAAGUCAAAAUAGGUUAUUCUUUUUUAAACGGAUGGAGUAUAAAAUAUAAGUACUUUAAUAGAUAAGGAAAUUAUAGGAUGUCUAUUUUUUAUAUUUAUCAAUUAAAAUUAAUUAAACAAUAUGUAAUUUAACAGAAAUUGAAUAUUAUAAUAAAAACUUUUAAGAGAAUUAAUCGAUUAGUCAAACAAUUAAAAAUACAAAGACAAACAAAAUAAAUAGAGUAGUUUAUCAUAUUAUUAUGAUAUACCGAAUGUAAAGACUCAAGUGGCAAGAAAAAGAAUGUACGAAAAAAUAAUUUUAUCAACUACAUGUCACAAUUUUAGAGGGAGAAAAAUAAUUUUAUCAACUAUUGUCAUAAUAUUAGAAGAAAAAAUAAUUUACCAAUACAUGUCUCAACUUUAGAGGAUUUUAAGAAUGUAUAAGUAUAAUUUUAUUUCAUAAAAAUAUCAAUCAAUUUUUUUUUUUUAUGAAAAUAGUCUUUAUUAGGUAAUCUAAUCUAUUAAGAAAUUAAUAUUUUUUCAUUAAAUAAUCCAUAAGGAAAAUUGAGUUUUGCAUAUAUAAAAGGGUCAAGAUAUGAGUAAUAUAUUAUAUAUUUACUUAAAUUAAAAUUAAGAACUAAUUAAGGUUGCCCAUUAUUUUUUCAAUGAAAUUAUUGUAAAAUCCGGUCACAAUAACUUUUAUAAUGGUCGGAGUAAAGUUAAAUGACCAUGGAUGAAAUGAAUGAAAAAAAAAAUGACUUUUGCUUAAUAGAUACAAAGUUAAGUGAUCAUGGAUGAAAUGAAUGAAAGAAAAAUAAUUUUUGCAUAAUAGAUAUAAAGUUAAGUGACCAUGGAUGAAAUUUACCCAAACAAAUGCACAAUGAUUUAUAAAUAUUUCUGUACUUGGUGAAAAUCAUUUGUAGUAAGUUGUUCUCCUUGCUCUUGGUGCCGUGGACAUGCUAAACCAAACAAAAAAAAUCAAAGAGAUAAACUACACCUCGAUUUUUCACCUCCGACUCUAACAAAAAUUACAAAAAUAGUAUCUUGCCUCCUAUCUUCAACUUAAUGUUGUGAAUAGCAAAACACUCCACUCAGCACUUAAAGUGGGACGUGAGGGCGAGGUGAAGUAAACAUGUAUUUAUUUCUUUGACCAUCACAUGCUAUGAAGUUGAAAUUUUUGUGGAAGACAAAGAUAUGGACUAAGCUGCUGGUAAGCAUUUAUUAUCAUCACCAAAUAUUUCAUCUCUUGUGAAGCUUCCUGCAUACAUGGAAUAUAUUGAAAAUCUUUGCAUCUCGCGAUCAGCAAAAAGAUAAAAGAACAAUUGUUAUUGACAGUGACCAACAACUAAUUUUUCAUUGGCAGACAACUAAAAUAAAAAUCCUGUAAUGAUAUUCAAUGUUGGAUUUUUUUGUUAAAUAGACCUUUUUAAGUCUAUUAUUUAAUUAAAUGGACCAUAAAUUUUUUUUAUUUAGUGAGAUGACUUAUUUUUUCGACAGAUCUAUUAUCUGUCCGAUAGUUAAUUCACAGAUCUAUUAUUUGUCCGAUAGAUAUAUAGACAGAUUUAUUAUCUGUCCGACAAAUAUAUAGACAAAUCUAUUAUAUGUUUGACAGAUCUAUUAUCUGUCCGAUAAAUGAGAAAAUAAAAAUAGGUCAUUUUGCUAAUUACAAAUUUGAAGAGGGUUGAACAUUUUGCUAAAUGCAAACUUAAAAAGGCUUAAUAGCCAAAUUUUCUCUUCAAAUGUUAACUAUCUUAUACUCCCUCCGUCCUAUUUUACUCAUUUCAAAUUUUCUAAUUUGAUUUCACAUUUUACUUAUCAUUUUUCAUUAAUCAAGACAAAAUAAUUUUUUUUUCUUUUUUUGCCAUUAGUAUUAAUUAUUUUUUCUCUAAAUUAAAAUGUAAACAUUCUUUAAUAGGGUAUUAUGGUAAAGUAACGAUAUUAUUAAUUAUUUUUCUUAAUCAAUAUGCAAUAUCAAAUUGGGACUAGAUGAGGCAAUUGAGAACUGCACCGUUGUUUAUUUUGAACUUUGAACGUUAAAUAAAAGUCCAUAUCACCAUCUUUUUGAAUUACUAUGUUGCUUGGACUCUUCAAAGGAAUCAAUGAGUGCGCCUUAGAUUCUAUACUAGAUGGUUAUUGCCCGUGCACGGGCCCAACAUUUUACAUUUUGAUGCGAUCUUCAAUUUACAUUUUACAUUUUUACAGUGUUUUGAUAAUGACAUAUAGCAGUGUCUGAACAAAUAGAAUGACAAUUUAGAAACGGGAGAAACAUAACACUAAUUGGAUUGAAAAUAACAGGUACCAUAUAUGUAAAAUGAAUAAAAUGUGGCAUAUAUAAUAAUAGAGUAACAAUUAAUUGAUAGAAGUUGUAUCAUGUAUCCUACUUACAAAAUUGUAUUAAGGUGACAUGAUUAAGUAGCCGUUUGGCCAUGAAAAUUAAAAUUUUCUGAACUUGGAGUUGAAGUUGGAGUUGAAAUUGGAGUUGGAGUUGUGUUUGACCAUGUCUUUUUUGAAUUUUUUUUUUGACUUUUGAAAAAACCUUUUUAAAUAUGAUUUUAUGUCUUAACUUUUACAAACUAUCAAAAUCACUCAACUAAAAUUUACCUACUAAUGAAAAAAGAACACAAUUAGCCACUAUUAUAAAAAUAAUUACAUAUACAUGACCAUAUUUAAUGAAUUUCAAUUAUGACAUAUAUAAUAUUUACAUUAAUAGUUGUUUUCUCAUAUUUGAAAAUUUAAAUAUGGAUGUUAUAUUAACAGAUCACUGCUUCCUAUUUUUAGGUAACAAAUAUUAUCUUUCAAACAAAUUUAUUUUUUUAGGAAUUUAUUUAAUUUAUUUCCUUCAUUUUUCGUUCCUAAAAAAUAGGAAAUGAUGAGUUGUUAUUAAAUUUUAGGGUGCCGUUAGUUUAUUUCUUUAAUUUUCUUAUACAUGAAAGAUUUUACAGUGUGAAUAAAUUAUUUCUAUGUAAAACAUGCUUUGCAUAUUUAUGAUAUAUUAUAUCAUAUACCAUAAAUAUAUAAAUAUGCUUGGUAUGUUUCUUUAUACUUUGUAUUUUUAUAUAUGUGUGUAUAUGGUAUAUACAUGGUAUAGACUUCAUAAAUAACAUACUUUGUAUAUUUAUAUUAUAAAUAUACUUAAUAUAUUUCUUAAUACUUUGUAUAUUUAUAUAAGUGUGUAUAUGGUAUAUAUACAUGGUAUAAACUUUAUAUAUAAUAUACUUUGUAUAUUUCUAUUAUAAAUAUAAUACUUUAUAAGUUUUGUGGGUAUAUAUAUAAUACUUUAUAUAUUUAUGGGUAUACUUUAUAUAUUUAUGGGUAUAAAUAUAAAUUAUCAGUAAAAUAAUGUCUUAAAUAAGGGAGAAAAUUAAAUAAGGGAUAAAAAUAAUGAUGAGAGAGAAAAAGAGAUAUAUAUUAAUUAGGAUAGUAUUAAAUUUGAAAUUAUAAUUAUUUUAUUCUUUAAAAUUUCUAUAUACGUAAUAUUUAAAAAGUAAUGUUAUAAGGAGAGUUUUAUGUAAAAAUUUAAAAGAUUGGGGUUAUAUGUAAUAAUAAUAAAAGUUGGAAUUGGAGUUGGAAAAUUAUGAAAACAACAAAAACCUACUUUCCCUUUUCAGAAAAAUUUUCGAAAAUUAUUUUCCGAAUUUUCAUGCCAAACACCACAAUUUCCAACUCCGAAAAAAAUUUUUGGAAAAAAGGGAAAAAAUUUCAUAGCCAAACGGCCCUAAUAAUGUCAAAUUAGAUUCAAUUUGUUAAUCUCAGCAAAGUACUUAUUCCAACCCUCAACGCAAAAUGUACAUAUACAUGUGAUGAAGAUACGACACCACAAAUAUACACAUUUAUGGAUAAACUGACACAAAGUAUGCCUAGUAUAUUAGCUACUGCAUCUUUUUACUCCUUGCAUCUUUUUGCUCCUUGUCAAUUGUAGUUGUCUUGUUUAUCUGCGUUAACACUGGAACUACAAAACUUUAUAAUUGAUAAUAAGUACAAAGAUGUGCAUAGCAAUUCCUUAAUUAGCAUAGAUCUGAUUUGCAUGUUUUCCCAAUCAGUUCUUUGAUUCUUGUUUUAGGAAUUGAUGACUCAGUUGCAAAAUGCAUCUGGUGAGGGUAAAAUAUUCCUUCUGUCUUCUCGCUCUCUCUGACUUCAUUCUCCGAAGGAAGAGUUAAAGAGUUUUAUGCAACUGAUUUACUCUGUAUUUACCAAGCUUGGAUAGCUCUCUGACUUCAUUCUCCGAAGGAAGAGUUAAGAGUUUUAUGCAACUGAUUUACUCUGUAUUUACCAAGCUUGGAUAGCUGAAAUGGGACAAAAUGUACCAACAUAUCAUAUUGACCUAUUUGUUUAGUCAAGUGCAAUAUUUAUUUAUUCGGGAGUUCAUAGGUGUUUUCUAGCUUACAAUGAUGUUUAUUUUUCUUUGAGAAAGUUAACAGUUUUAUAGACAAGAAAUACACCAAUAAUGUGUUUCAUCAAUAUUUAGAGGAGAACAUCAAAAACUUCUAUCACCUGCUCUCUCAUAAGCUAUCUAAAGUAUGAGUAAUUUCCUCCACCUCAUUAAGCAGGGUACGUAUACACCAAAAAUAAAAGGUCACUAAGAAGUUCAUUUUCAAACUCUAGAAGAGAUGCUUUUGUUAAAAUAUCUCUGAUUCCUUUUCUACCAUAUUGUCCACCAGAUGCAGGGACAGUCGUCCAUCUCUCGUUGUGUCCUGACAUGCUCCCAUCUCUGUUCAAGCGUGCUAGUAUAUCUGAAGUAUCUCUUGGCAUGACCAAUCCGAUACCCUUAAGGUUGAGAAAAAUGUGACAUAGUUGAGCCGUCAACUUGUAAUGUUAAGAAGAAAUGAUUUGUUGUCUCUGUUUAGUUUCACACAAAAAAUCAUCCGGAGCAUAACUGCCUCCCUGUUUGCAUAAGAUUGUCCUAUGUUAGGAUUGCUUGUUUGGCCACUAACCAGGUAAAUCAAGCCACCUUGAAUGAAAUCUUGAUUCCCCAUAUCAUCUUCCAUGUCCAUGUUCCAUGAGAACUUGCAGGAGUAUCCAAAAGUCUCUAUUGCUGGCUUCACAGUAAAGUUCCCAUCUUUGGUCUUUAACUUUCUUCUUUGCAUUGAGGUUCUUGGCAUGUUCAAUAGUACUGUAGAACUGUAACAAACAUAACCAUGAUGGAAGACUCAUUUAGGAAAUUGGCAAAUUAUGUUCCUAGCUAAGGAAAGGAGCAUGUGCACUUUCUGAGGAUGCUUAUAUAUACUAACAGAAGACAUACUUUAUUAGAGUCAUGUUACAAAGUUAUCUUUUGUUUUCUUAGCUAAAAUUAGGGGGUGUACAAACCAAACCGUCAAGUCAAACUGAACCGACGAACCAAAUCAAAUUGAGAAAAAAAACCGACUUAUGGUUUGGUUUGAUUGGUUUGGCGUUAGAAAAAAAAAACCGAUCAUUCUUGGUUUCGAACCCGAAUCAAACCGACAUAAUAUAUAUAUGUAUAUAUAUAUUAGAAGUUUUUUAUACAUAAAAUAUUAACUAUAAUCUGCUUUUGAAAUAUUUUUUCAACUAGUUUUAGUAAUUUUCAAUAAUUUAAAAGUAGGUGUAGAUAUAUAUUUAGAUAUGACCCUUGAAGUUGUACUCCAUAUUUAGAUUUGGCCCUUGAAGUUGUACUCCCGCCGUUUCGAAUUAGUUGACCCUCUUUCUAAAAAUAUUUUUGUCAAUUUAUUUGUCCGAUUUAUCAAAUAAAGAUUAUUUUACACAAAUUCUUUCCAUUAUACCCUUAAUAGGUAUUAAAUAUAACUACACUUUUCAAAAUUUUUAAAAAUAACACUUAUAUUUUUAAUACAAACUUUAUGAAACUUGACUUUUUUUCUUCUUUUCAAGGAGUACUAUUAGUAUUCCUAUAAGAUUUUCAAUCCAUGCAUGCAUAUGCUACAAUUUUCCAUGCUUAAUUAAUUAUUGAGUCUUACAAUGUUAAGAAGGGUAAAAAGGUAAAAUAUACUCCUAAUCAUUGGAUUUCUUAAUGGGUGUGCCAAGGUUGAAAGGACCAUCUAAUUCGAAACGAAGGGAGUAAUAUUUGUCCAUUAAUUGCUAAUUAAAUGAUCGAAAACUCAAUAUAAAUUUAAAACCUAAACUUUUCACUCUUCAUCUCACUUUUUAGUUUUAAGAAAGUUUUUCGCUCCUCAUUUUUUCAUAAUUAUGGUUUUUCAUUAGCAUAUGAGUGAAAAUAUAUUUGAUCUAAUCUUCGAUCACAAUAUAACUGUAAAAACUAAAGAUUAUAAAAAAAAAACCGAAAAAAUCGAAAAACCCAAAAAAACCGAUUAAAACCUAAAUCAAAAAAAUCAAUUUUAUGUUGGUUUGAUUUGAUUUAUAGUUUUAAUAAACCGACAUGAUUGGUUUGAUUUUUUUUUUUUUAAUAAAAAUCGAACCAACCCGACCUAUGUACACCCCUAGCUAAAAUUUUAGCAUUCUGGAACCUCUCUUUUCUAUUUUCCUUUUGUUUCUAUGAUGAACUUAUGAUAAUUGUUCUCCUAAUUAAUAUGAUUCCCCUCGUUUCAAUGAUGCUUUCAUUGAAAUCAAAAUUUGACUUUCUACUAUGCCUAGCAGGGAUAGCAUUAAGGUAAGCAUCAAAUAAUAUAAGAAAAUACAUGGCAGAGAUGUCUUUUGUUGUCAAAAUACAGCUUACAGUGAGUGCCUUCACCCUUAAUGAAGGUUUGUGUGCAAUUUAUUUCUUCGAAUUCCAUCUGUAGAGUUGCACUGCAUAUACUAUUGUGCUCAUUUGUUGUCUUACUUUACUUUUUAGUCAAUUUUAAUACUUUUUGAUAACUCUUUAGUUACAACCUUUUCAAAUUUCAUAUUUAAUGAAGAUCACAAGAUUAAAGAGUAUUUUCAUACAUUUUAUAUAUUUUUUAGUUUAAGAUCUUAAGAUUCAAAAAUCUACUCGACUUUCAUGAGUUUCGUAUCAAAUGAAUACCACCACCAACAACAAUAACAUGCCUAAUAUAAUCACAUAAUAUCGAUAUAAGAGAGUAGUGUACUCAAGCCUUAUCCUACCUCGAAGUUAGAGUUAUUUUUGAUAGACCCUCGCAACUAUAGAAACAAUAGUUCAAUCGGCAAGAUGGAUAUCCAUGAAACAUAAAAAAAAUGCAGAAACUAAAUAAUUAAUGGAUUUGUCUAUAAGAAAUAAUUGAUACCAAGCAAUAAUAAAUGCUCACAGGUGCCGGGGAAAAGUUUACUUAUACUUGGUCUAUGUGCAAAAUCGAUAAAUACAUGAGUAUUUUCCUGAACAAUCCAUGUGAUCUGCUUGAUGAACGUUCACGAUGAGGCAUUGUGAUAAGUCUUUUGUCCGACUACAGGUGCCGGGUAAAAAUUUAUUUACACAUGGUCUUUGUGCCAAAUCUAUAAAUAUAUGAGUAUUUUUUAUACGCACCUUUAUCACUAACCAUGAUUAAUUGAAAAAUAUUAUCAACCUAAUCUAUCAUUUUUCAAUUGAUUUAUAUUAUCACCCUAAUCUAUCACUUUAGUAAACUAAUGUUGAUUUGGUAUGAACAUGAUGACACUGAUUCCAAACUCAAACAGAGUUUGUGACUGGGUUAUUCCUUGAAAUAGCCCAACUGUCUACAGUCUACUGCUAUUACUAUUUUGGAAAAAGUUAGAUAUAGAAAUGACCCAAUUCAGGAAUAUCAAAUAGAGGUUCAUAUAUAGGGUCAAACUAAGGGCCACACUGUAGUUUCUUUAAAGCUAGAUGCUUUUUAGAUCUCACUGUAUGCCACUGAUAUACAAGUAUUGAACCAAAUCAAACAUUUCAGGCACUAAUUUUAGUGAGUGUAACAAAAACACCUAAGCUUCAAUCCAAUGAGUUCACGUCAAAUGUAUGACUACUUGCUUCAACUAUGUUACGUUCUUAGCUAAUGUAAUAUCCUGAAAAAUUCAAAUUAAUGUUAGAGCCAUGUUUCAAGCUCAUGCAAAGUACAUUAGAAUUCUUUAUAGUUUUAUGAGUGAGUUUGAUGUAUCUUAAGGCCUCAAAUAACUCCCAGCUAUUAGGCGAAUCAAAAUAUUCCUUACCAAUUGAAUUUUCGGAAAGAAUAUUGCUUUAGUCAACUUCAAUCGAGCAUAUCUUUUACUCUACUAAGAAUUUUGCAUCUCAAGACCCACCAAAUAAUAGUAAAUUGAACUAGCUUUCCAACGAUGCCAAUUUCGCAAAAAUUUGAUACCUGAGUGAGAAGUUAUGACACUUUUAGUGAAAGGUAGUGGCCCAUCGCGAUAAGGCCACAUCGCGGAGAUGGCCAAAAUCAUGUUCGUCCUUUUUCAGUGGACCACCGCAAUAAUGCCGCAUCGCUCCAAGGGGCGAAUUCGCGUUCAAUGGGGCACCGCGAUACCGUUGCGUCGUGCCAAGGUGCCCAUUCAGAAUUGUCCGUUUCCAGUGGUGCAACGCGGUAGCAUCGCGUUGUGCCGUUGGGCAAAAUGGAGAUUGUCAUUUUCCAGUGGUGCAACACGAUAAGCACCACGUCGCGCUAGAGCCAAAAAUCGGGAUUUCCAGUUUUGCGAUUUAAUUUUCAGGGAUCGUUUGGUCUAUUCCCAUGGCCCUAAAAUCCAUCCAAAACACGAAAUUAAAACCCUAAAGGGGCAUCAUGUGCCCUAUUACUCAUAAUUUCUCUCCAAGAAACUAAUCUCCUCUCAAGAACAAACCCUAGCCUUCAAGAUUCAAGAUCAAUUCUUAAGAAAACCCCCAAGAACUCUUACGAAUUUAUCAACCUAGGUAUGUUAAGUGUUCAUCCAUUGGUCCCUUUUACCCAUGGAGCCCAAAAAUCUAAUUUUUAAAUUCAAAGUUAUGAUCUCUUACAAGUUAUUAUGAUUUUAAACAUGAAUUCCCAUGAAUCUUGAUUCUAUACCAUAUUUACAAUAAAUUAUUGUUGUUAUUGGACCCCGCAUGUUCAAGUAGUGUUAUUCGCUAAUUUUAAUCAUAAUUAGUGAUGUUGAUGUUGAAAUCAUGCUAUUUCUACAAGCUUUAAACUAUUACCAGUCUUAGCUUAAACUAUGAAUAUCAAGUGUUUGAUGAAAUGCCUACAAGAAUGAAUUUUGAAUUAAUGCUUUCAUAUUAUGUCUCCAAAGUUUUAAUACUAUUUUACUAUUAUUGUUAUCGAGUCCUGGGGUUUAUGAAUACCCAAAAAUUUAGUUUUUACUUAGUCUCAGUAUCUUCAAAAUAGUUUCAGACAUGUUAUGAGCAAUAUCAGUUCAGUUAGUUAUCAUGAUUAGUUAAACUUAGAACAAUUCAGUAUUUCUAGUUAGUUUAGUUAGGUGUAGGAUUUAGCGCCGAGCGAGUGUCGGGAUGACGGCUUCCCUAUCAGUUGGUAGAGUCGUUAGCAGUAGUCUCUGUACUCCAGAACUACGUAGCCAGCAUAGGAUUUGAGGAGUCACCCAUCAGUUCAGGCUUGACUACCUCUCAAGGGUUACCCGUCAGUUUAGGCUUGACACCCUGGUCCUUUGGGGCAUUAGUAUAGUAGAUCCACACAGCCAGUGUUAGUACCCAUGGCACGGUACUAACACCCUUCCAACCGGAGUCACAGGUUGGACCCCAAAUUUCUUAUUGGAGCAUGUCGGUUAGAUGAUAGCUCCUACUGUCUCAGUCUAGUAAUCAGCUCAGUAAUUCAGUUUCAGUUUUGCUUGACCAUAGAAAACAGAUAUCUAUUACUCAUGUAUUAGUACACAAUAUUUCAGUUUAUAGAUUAUAUUCAGAACAUGAUUUAUGCUUGGUCAUGCAUUCUCAGUAUUUAUAUUUCAUACAUUCUAUUCAGUACUUCAUGUUAUUCAUUUAGUCAGUUAUUACUCCUGUACAUGAAACCAUAAAUAUUAGCCUACCUCAUUUAGCAUACCAGUACAUUCAAAGUACUGAUUGCAUACUCAUUUCUUGCGCUAUGAUGUAUCAUAUCAUAGGUUUGGAUGCUCCAUUCUUGGAUCACGCAUAGACUUUCCAGCUUAUC